This 46393-nucleotide long non-coding RNA is filed under the name Triticum aestivum (bread wheat). Its description in RNAcentral is "long non-coding RNA (TAES_LNC012938)". Lineage: Eukaryota; Viridiplantae; Streptophyta; Magnoliopsida; Poales; Poaceae. The record is from RNAcentral.
UCUAUAGAUCUUGAUGCUCAAUAUGUAAGCAGCUUCACCGAGGUCUUUCUUUGAAAAACUCCUUUCAAACACUCGUUUAUGCUUUCUAGAAAAUUCUACAUCAUUUCCGGUCGACAAUAUGUCAUUCACAUAUACUUAUCAGAAAGGCUGUAGUGCUCACACUCAUUUCUUGUAAAUACAGGCUUCACCACAAGUCUGUAUAAAACUAUAUGCUUUGAUCAACUUAUCAAAGUGUAUAUUCCAACUCUGAGAUGCUUGCACCAGUCCAUAGAUGGAUCGCUGGAGCUUGCACAUUUUGUUAGCACCUUUAGGAUUGACAAAACCUUCUGGUUGCAUCAUAUACAACUCUUCUUUAAUAAAUCCAUUAAGGAAUGCAGUUUUGUUAUCCAUUUGCCAGAUUUCAUAAAAUGCUGCAAUUGCUAACAUGAUUUAGACAGACUUAACCAUCGCUAGGAGUGAGAAAAUCUCAUCGUAGUCAACACCUUGAACUUGUCGAAAACCUUUCGCGACAAGUCGAGCUUUGUAGAUAGUAACACUACCAUCAGCGUCCGCCUUCCUCUUGAAGAUCCAUUUAUUCUCAAUGGCUUGCCGAUCAUCGGGCAAUUCCACCAAAGUCCAUACUUUGUUUUCAUACAUGGAUCCUAUCUCAGAUUUCAUGGCCUUAAACCAUUUUGCGGAAUCUAGGCUCAUCAUCACUUCCUCAUAUUUCGUAGGUUCGUCAUGGUCUAGUAACAUGACUUCCAAAACCGGAUUACCGUACCACUUUGGUGCGGAACGUACUCUGGUUGAUGAUACGUCUCCAACGUAUCUAUAAUUUUUUAUUGUUCCAUGCUAUAUUAUAUUCUGUUUUGGAUGUUUAAUGGGAUUUAUUAUACACUUUUAUAUUAUUUUUGGGACUAACCUAUUAACUGGAGGCCCAGCCCAAAUUGCUUUUUUGCCUAUUUCAGUGUUUCGAAGGAAAGGAAUAUCAAACAGAGUCCAAACGGAAUGAAACCUUCGGGAACGUGAUUUUCAGAACAAACGUGAUCUAGAGGACUUGGAGUGGAUGUCAAGCAAUCAACGAGGAGGCCACGAGGCAGGGGGCGCGCCUACCCCCCUGGGCGCGCCCUCCACACUCGUGGGCCCCUCGUAGCUCCACCGACCUACUUCUUCCUCCUAUAUAUACCUACGUACCCCCAAACCAUCAUCAGAGGAGCAAAAACCCUAUUUCCACCGCCGCAACCUUCUGUACCUGUGAGAUCCCAUCUUGGGGCCUUUUCCGGCGCUCCGCCGGAGGGGGCAUAGAUCACGGAGGGCUUCUACAUCAACACCAUAGCCUCUCCGAUGAUGUGUGAGUAGUUUACCUCAGACCUUCGGGUCCAUAGUUAUUAGCUAGAUGACUUCUUCUCUCUCUUUGGAUCUCAAUACAAAGUUCUCCUCGAUUCUCUUGGAGAUCUAUUUGGUGUAACUCUACUUUUUGCGGUGUGUUUGUCGAGAUCCCAUGAAUUGUGGGUUUAUGAUCAAGAUUAUCUAUGAACAAUAUUUGAAUCUCCUCUGAAUUCUUUUAUGUAUGAUUGGUUAUCUUUGCAAGUCUCUUUGAAUUAUUAGUUUGGUUUGGCCUACUAGAUUGAUCUUUCUUGCAAUGGGAGAAGUGCUUAGCUUUGGGUUCAAUCUUAUGGUGCUCGAUCCCAGUGACAAUGGGAGGCAUCCACAUAGAGUCAUACUUUGUUCUAAGUUUUGAGUUGUAAAGAAAAUAAAAGUGUGAUGAUCAUCAUUUUUAGAGCAUUGUCCCAAGUGAGGAAAGGAUGAUGGAGACUAUGAUUCCCCCAUAAAUCGGGAUGAGACUCCGGACUAAAAAAAAGAGAAAGGCCAUAAAAAAUUAAAAAAAUCAAAAAUGAGAGAAAAAAGAGAGAAGGGACAAUGCUACUAUCCUUUUACCACACUUGUGCUUCAAAGUAGCACCAUGAUCUUCAUGAUAGAGAAUCUCCUAUGAUAUCACUUUCAUAUACUAGUGGGAAAUUUUCAUUAUAGAACUUGGCUUGUAUAUUCCAAUGAUGGGCUUCCUCAAAAUGCCCUAGGUCUUCGUGAGCUAGCGAGUUGGAUGCACACCCACUUAGUUUCUUUUGUUGAGCUUUCAUAUACUUAUAGCUCUAGUGCAUCCAUUGCAUGGCAAUCCCUACUCACUCACAUUGAUAUCUAUUGAUGGGAAUCUCCAUAGCCCGUUGAUAUGCCUAGUUGAUGUGAGACUAUCUUCUCCUUUUUUUCUCUUCUCCACAACCACCAUUCUAUUCCACAUAUAGUGCUAUGUCCAUGGCUCACGCUCAUGUAUUGCGUGAAGAUUAAAAAGUUUGAGAACACCAAAAGUAUGAAACAAUUGCUUGGCUUGUCAUCGGGGUUGUGCAUGAUUUAAAUAUUUUGUGAGAUGAAGAUAGAGCAUAGCCAGACUAUAUGAUUUUGUAGGGAUAACUUUCUUUGGCCAUGUUAUUUUGAGAAGACAUAAUUGCUUAGUUAGUAUGCUUGAAGUAUUAUUAUUUUUAUGUCAAUAUUAAACUUUUGUCUUGAAUCUUUCGGAUCUGAACAUUCAUACCACAAUUAAGAGAAUUACAUUGAAAAUUAUGCCAAGUAGCAUUCCACAUCAAAAAUUCUGUUUUUAUCAUUUACCUACUCGAGGACGAGUAAGAAUUAAGCUUGGGGAUGCUUGAUACGUCUAUAAUUUUUGAUUGUUCCAUGCUAUAUUAUAUUCUAUUUUGGAUGUUUAAUGGGCUUUAUUAUACACUUUUAUGUUAUUUUUGGAACUAACCUAUUAACCGAAGGCCCAGCCCAAAUUGCUGUUUUUUGCCUAUUUCAGUGUUUCGCAGAAAAAGAAUAUCAAACAGAGUCCAAACGGAAUGAAACCUUCGGGAACGUGAUUUUCGGAACAAACGUGAUCCAGAGGACUUGGAGUCUACGUCAAGCAAUCAAGAUGGAGAGCACGAGGCAGGGGGCGCGCUGCUACCUCUUGAGCACUGCGUUGGUUUUCCCUUGAAGAGGAAAGGAUGAUGCAGCAAAGUAGCGUAAGUAUUUCCCUCAGUUUUUGAGAACCAAGGUAUCAAUCCAGUAGGAGGCUACGCGCGAGUCCCUCGCACCUACACAAACAAAUAAAUCCUAGCAACCAACACGAUAAGGGGUUGUCAAUCCCUACACGGUCACUUACGAGAGUGAGAUCUGAUAGAUGUGAUAGGAUAAUUUUUUUGGUAUUUUUAUAAUAAAGAUGCAAAGUAAAAUAAAAGCAAAGUAAAAAGCAACGGAAAUAACUAAGUGUUGGAAGAUUAAUAUGAUGAAGAUAGACCCGGGGGCCAUAGGUUUCACUAGUGGCUUCUCUCAAGAGCAUAAGUAUUUUACGGUGGGUGAACAAAUUACUGUUGAGCAAUUGACAGAAUUGAGCAUAGUUAUGAGAAUAUCUAGGUAUGAUCAUGUAUAUAGGCAUCACGUCCGAGACAAGUAGACCGACUCCUGCCUGCAUCUACUACUAUUACUCCACACAUCGACCGCUAUGCAACAUGCAUCUAGAGUAUUAAGUUCAUAAGAACAGAGUAACGCCUUAAGCAAGAUGACAUGAUGUAGAGGGAUAAUUCAUGCAAUAUUAUAAAAAACCCAUCUUGUUAUCCUCGAUGGCAACAAUACAAUACGUGCCUUGAUGCCCCUACUGUCACUGGGAAAGGACACCGCAAGAUUGAACCCAAAGGUAAGCACUUCUCCCAUUGCAAGAAAGAUCAAUCUAGUAGGCCAAACCAAACUGAUAAUUCGAAGAGACUUGCAAAGAUAACCAAUCAUACAUAAAAGAAUUCAGAAGAUUCAAAUAUUGUUCAUAGAUAAACUUGAUCAUAAACCCACAAUUCAUCGGUCGCAACAAACACACCGCAAAAGAAGAUUACAUCGAAUAGAUCUCCACGAGAGAGGGGGAGAACAUUGUAUUGAGAUCCAAAAAGAGAGAAGAGGCCAUCUAGCUAAUAACUAUGGACCCGAAGGUCUGAGGUAAACUACUCGCACUUCAUCGGAGAGGCUAUGGUGUGAUGUAGAAGCCCUCCGUAUUCGAUGCCCCCUCCGGCGGAGCUCCGGAACAGGCCCCAAGAUGGGAUCUCGUCGGUACAGAAGGUUGCGGCAGUGGAAUUAGGUUUUUGGCUCCGUAUCUGAUCGUUUGGGGGUACGUAGGUAUAUAUAGGAGGAAGGAGUACGUCGGUGGAGCAACAUGGGGCCCACGAGGGUGGAGGGCGCGCCCAGGGGGUAGGCGCGCCCCCUACCUCGUGGCUUCCUGGAAGCUUCCUUGAUGUAGGGUCCAAGUCUCCUGGAUCAUGUUCGUUCCAAAAAUCAUGUUCCCGAAGGUUUCAUUCCGUUUGGACUCCGUUUGAUAUUCUUUUUCUGCGAAACUCUGAAAUCGGCAAAAACAGCAAUUCUGGGCUGGGCCUCCGGUUAAUAGGUUAGUCCCAAAAAUAAUAUAAAAGUGAAUAAUAAAGCCCAAUAAUGUCCAAAACUAAAGAUAAUAUUGCAUGGAGCAAUCAAAAAUUAUAGAUACGUUGGAGACGUAUCAAGCAUCCCCAAGCUUAAUUCCUGCUCGUCCUCGAGUAGGUAAAUGAUAAAAACAGAAUUUUUGAUGUGGAAUACUACUAGGCAUAAUUUCAAUGUAAUUCUUCUUAAUUGUGGUAUGAAUAUUCAGAUCCGAAAUAUUCAAGCUAAAAGUUCGAUAUCGACAUAAAAAUAAUAAUACUUCAAGCAUACUAACUAAGCAAUUAUGUCCUCUCAAAAUAACAUGGCCAAAGAAAGUUCAUCCCUACAAAAUCAUAUAGUUUAGUCCUGCUCCAUCUUCGUCAUACAAGAAUGCUCUCAUCAUGUACAACCCCGAUGACAAGCCAAGCAAUUGUUUCAUACUUUAGUAAUCUCAAACUUUUUCAACCUUCACGCAAUACAUGAGCGUGAGCCAUGGAUAUAGCACUAUGGGUGGAAUAGAGUAUGAUGAUGGGGGUUAUGUGGAGAAGACAAAAAAAGGAGAAAGUCUCACAUCAACGAGGCUAAUCAAUGAGCUAUGGAGAUGCCCAUCGAUUGAUGUUAAUGCAAGGAGUAGGGACUGCCAUGCAACGGAUGCACUAGAGCUAUAACUAUAUGAAAGCUCAACAAAAGAAACUAAGUGGGUGUGCAUCCAACUUGCUUGCUCACGAAGACCUAGGGCACUUGAGGAGGCCCAUUGUUGGAAUAUACAAGCCAAUUUCUAUAAUGAAAAAUUCCCACUAGUAUAUGAAAGUGACAAAACAGGAGACUCUCUAUCAUGAAGAUUAUGGUGCUACUUUGAAGCACAAGUGUGGUAAAGGAUAGUAACAUUGUCCCUCCUCUCUUUUUCUCUCAUUUUUUUGGGCCUUCUCUUUUUUUAUGGCGUUUCUCUCUCUUUUUUUUAUUCCUCACUUGGGACAAUGCUCUAGAAAAUGAUGAUCAUCACACUUCUAUUAUUUACAACUCAAUGAUUACAACUCGAUACUAGAACAAAGUAUGACUCUAUAUGAAUGCCUCCGGCGGUGUACCGGGAUAUGCAAUGAACCAAGAGUGACAUGUAUGAAAGAAUUAUGAACGGUGGCUUUGCCACAAAUACUAUGUCAACUACAUGCUCAUGCAAAGCAACAUGACAAUGAUGAAGCGUGUCAUAAUAAAUGGAACAGUGGAAAGUUGCAUGGCAAUAUAUCUCGGAAUGGCUAUGGAAAUGCCAUAAUAGGUAGGUAUGGUGGCUGUUUUGAGGAAGAUAUAAGGAGGUUUAUGUGUGAAAGAGCAUAUCAUAUCACGGGGUUUGGAUGCACCGGCGAAGUUUGCACCAACUCUCAAUGUGAGAAAGGGCAAUGCACGGUACCGAAGAGGCUAGUAAUGAUGGAAAGGUGAGAGUGCGUAUAAUCCAUGGACUCAACAUUAGUCAUAAAGAACUCACAUACUUAUUGCAAAAAUCUACAAGUCAUCAAAAACCAAGCACUACGUGCAUGCUCCUAGGGGGAUAGAAUUGUAGGAAAAGACCAUCGCUCGUCCCCGACCGCCACUCAUAAGGAGGACAAUCAAAGAACACCUCAUGUUUCAAAUUUGUUACAUAACGUUUACCAUAUGUGCAUGCUACGGGACUUGCAAACUUCAACAAAAGUAUUUCUCAAAUUCACAAUUACUCAACUAGCACGACUUUAAUAUCACUACCUCCAUGUCUCAAAACAAUCAUCAAGCAUCAAACUUCUCUUAGUAUUCAAAACACUCAUAAGAAAGUUUUUACUAAUCUUGAAUACCUAGCAUAUUAGGUUUAUUUAAGAAAAUUACCAUGCUAUUUAAGACUCUCAAAAUAAUCUAAGUGAAGCAUGAGAGAUCAAUAGUUUCUAUAAAACAAAUCCACCACCGUGCUCUAAAAGAUAUAAGUGAAGUACUAGAGCAAAAACUAUAUAACUCAAAAGAUAUAAGUGAAGCACAUAGAGUAUUCUAAUAAUUUCCGAAUCAUGUGUGUCUCUCUCAAAAGGUGUGUACAGCAAGGAUGAUUGUGGUAAACUAAAAAGCAAAGACUCAAAUCAUACAAGACACUCCAAGCAAAACACAUAUCAUGUGGUGAAUAAAAAUAUAGCUCCAAGUAAAGUUACCAAUGGAAGUAGACGAAAGAGGGGAUGCCUUACGGGGCAUCCCCAAGCUUUGGAUUUUUUGUGUACUUAGAUUAUCUUGGGGGUGCCAUGGGCAUCCCCAAGCUUAGGCUCUUGCCACUCCUUGUUCCAUAAUGCAUCAAAUCUUUCACCCAAAACUUAAAAACUUCACAACACAAAACUUAACAGAAAAUCUCGUCAGCUCCGUUAGCGAAAGAAAACAAAAGACCACUUCAAGGUACUGUAAUGAACUCAUUCUUUAUUUAUAUUGGUAUUAAACCUACUGUAUUCCAACUUCUCUAUGGUUUAUAAACUCUUUUACUAACCAUAGAAUCAUCAAAAUAGGCAAACAACACACGAAAAACAGAAUCUGUCAAAAACAGAACAGUCUGUAGUAAUCUGUAACUAACGCAAACUUCUGGAACUCCAAAAAAUCAGCCAAAAUAGAAAGACCUAGACAAUUUGUUUAUUCAUCAGUAGUAAUUGGAAUCAAUAUUUUAUCACGUUCUGGUGAUUUUAACAAUUGUUUUUGUCAACAGAAAGUUUCUGGAAUUUUCUGCGAGAUCAAAUAACUAUCAUCCAAGAAGAUUCUAUAGGUUUAACUUGGCACAAACACUAAUUAAAACAUAAAAACACAUCUACCAGUGGCUAGAUCAAAUAUUUGUUCCUAAACAGAAGCAAAAAGCAAAAAACUAAAAAAAUAAAAUUGGGUUGCCUCCCAACAAGCGCUAUCGUUUAACGCCCCUAGCUAGGCAUAAAAGCAAGGAUAGAUUUAGGUAUUGCCAUCUUUGGUGGGCAAUCCAUAAGUGGCUCUCAUGAUAGAUUCAUAUGGUAGUUUUAUUUUCUUCCUAGGGAAGUGUUCCAUGCCUUUCUUUAAUGGAAAUUGGAAUCUAAUAUUCUCUUCCUUCAUAUCAAUAAUUGCACCAAUCGUUCUAAGGAAAGGUCUACCAAAAAUAAUAGGACAUGAAGGAUUGCAAUCUAUAUCAAGAACAAUAAAAUCUACGGGCACAUAGUUCCUAUUUGCAACAAUAAGAACAUCAUUAAUUCUUCCAAUAGGUUUCUUAAUAGUGGAAUCCGCAAGGUGCAAGUUUAAAGAGCAAUCAUCAAAAUCACGGAAACCUAGCAAAUCGCACAAAGUUUUUGGAAUCGUGGAAACUCUAGCACCCAAAUCACACAAAGCAUAGCAUUCAUGAUCUUUAAUCUUAAUUUUAAUAGUAGGUUCCCACUCAUCAUAAAGUUUUCUAGGGAUAGAAACUUCCAACUCAAGCUUUUCUUCAUAAGAUUGCAUCAAGGCAUCAACGAUAUGUUUGGUAAAAGCUUUAUUUUGACUAUAAGCAUGAGGAUAAUUUAGCACGGAUUGCAACGAGGAAAUACAAUCUAUCAAAGAGCAAUUAUCAUAAUUAAAUUCCUUGAAAUCCAAAAUAGUGGGUUUAUUAAUAUCUAGGGUUUUGAUUUCUUCAAUCCCACUUAUAUCAAUUUUAGCAUCAAGAUCUAGAAACUCCGAAUUUUUGGAACGCCUUCUAGGAAAAGGUGGAUCAUAUUCAGUCCCAUCAUUAUCAAGAUUCAUAUUGCAAAACAAGGAUUUAAUAGGGGACACAUCAAUAACUUUUAGAUCUUCAUCUUUAUUUUCAUAGAAAUCCGGUUUAGCAGCCAUCUUAUUAACUAAGGUAGCCUGCUUAUCCGAUAUUUCAGCUAUCAACUUUUCAAGACGAGCAAUUUGGGAUCUCAAACCAUCAAAUUCUAUAGACAUAUCAUCGAGCUCUUUAUUCAUAUAACUCAUAAAGCUUUUUUGUUCCUUAAGAUCGUUUCUGAAGAAAUUAUUAUGCUCAAAUUGCAAAACCAUAAAACUCCUGACGUUGCUUUCGAUCUCUUCUAACCUUUUAAGGUCAAGAUCACCAAAUCUAGGUAGAGCCAUCGUGACAAACAAGCAAUCCAACACACGAGCAAACAAGAAGCAAGCGAAAAAGAGGCGAACGGAAAAGAGAGGGCGAAUAAAACGGCAAGGGUGAAGUGGGGGAGAGGAAAACGAGAGGCAAAUGGCAAAUAAUGUAAUGCGGGAGAUAAGGGUUUGUGAUGGGUACUUGGUAUGUUGACUUUUGCGUAGACCUCCCCGGCAACGGCGCCAGAAAUGGCUCGUUGUUGGGAGUCCAAAUCUUUACUUGACCUUGCGUAAGCCUCCCCGGCAACGGCGCCAGAAAUCCUUCUUGCUACCUCUUGAGCACUGCGUUGGUUUUCCCUUGAAGAGCAAAGGGUGAUGCAGCAAAGUAGCGUAAGUAUUUCCCUCAGUUUUUGAGAACCAAGGUAUCAAUCCAGUAGGAGGCUACGCGCGAGUCCCUCGCACCUACACAAACAAAUAAAUCCUCGCAACCAACGCGAUAAGGGGUUGUCAAUCCCUACACGGUCACUUGCGAGAGUGAGAUCUGAUAGAUGUGAUAGGAUAAUAUUUUUGGUAUUUUUAUGAUAAAGAUGCAAAGUAAAAAAGCAACGGAAAUAACUAAGUGUUGGAAGAUUAAUAUGAUGAAGAUAGACCCAGGCGCCAUAGGUUUCACUAGUGGCUUCUCUCAAGAGCAUAAGUAUUUUACGGUGGGUGAACAAAUUACUGUUGAGCAAUUGACAGAAUUGAGCAUAGUUAUGAGAAUAUCUAGGUAUGAUCAUGUGUAUAGGCAUCACGUCCGAGACAAGUAGACCGACUCCUGCCUGCAUCUACUACUAUUACUCCACACAUCGACCGCUAUCCAGCAUGCAUCUAGAGUAUUAAGUUCAUAAGAACAGAGUAACGCCUUAAGCAAGAUGACAUGAUGUAGAGGGAUAAAUUCAUGCAAUAUGAUAAAAACCUCAUCUUGUUAUCCUCGAUGGGAACAAUACAAUAUGUGCCUUGCUGCCCCUACUGUUACUAGGAAAGGACACCGCAAGAUUGAACCCAAAGCUAAGCACUUCUCCCAUUGCAAGAAAGAUCAAUCUAGUAGGCCAAACCAAACUGAUAAUUCGAAGAGACUUGCAAAGAUAACCAAUCAUACAUAAAAGAAUUCAGAAUAUUCAAAUAUUGUUCAUAGAUAAACUUGAUCAUAAACCCACAAUUCAUCGGUCUCAACAUACACACCGCAAAAGAAGAUUACAUCGAAUAGAUCUCCGCGAGAGAGGGGGAGAACAUUGUAUUGAGAUCCAAAAAGAGAAAAGAAGCCAUCUAGCUAAUAACUAUGGACCCGAAGGUCUGAGGUAAACUACUCACACUUCAUCGGAGAGGCUAUGGUGUUGAUGUAGAAGCCCUCCGUGAUCGAUGCCCCCUCCGGCGGACCUCCGAAAUAGGCCCCAAGAUGGGAUCUCGUGGGUACAGAAGGUUGCGGCGGUGGAAUUAGGUUUUUGGCUCCGUAUCUAAUCGUUUGGGGGUACGUAGGUAUAUAUAGGAGGAAGGAGUACGUCGGUGGAGCAACAUGGGGCCCACGAGGGUGGAGGGCGCCCCCAGGGGGGUAGGCGCGCCCCCCUACCUCGUGGCUUCCUGGAAGCUUCCUUGACGUAGGGUCCAAGUCUCCUGGAUCAUGUUCGUUCCAAAAAUCAUGUUCCCGAAGGUUUCAUUCCGUUUGGACUCCGUUUGAUAUUCUUUUUCUGCGAAACUCUGAAAUAGGCAAAAAACAGCAAUUCUGGGCUGGGCCUCCGGUUAAUAGGUUAGUCCCAAAAAUAAUAUAAAAGUGAAUAAUAAAGCCCAAUAAUGUCCAAAACAGAAGAUAAUAUAUCAUGGAGCAAUCAAAAAUUAUGGAUACGUUGGAGACGUAUCACGCGCCUACCCCCCACCCCCAGGCGCGCCCUCCAUCCUCGUGGGUCCCACGUUGCUCCACCGACAUACUUCUUCCUCCUAUAUAUACCUACGUACCCCCAAACCAUCAGAGGCAUCCACGAAAACCUAAUUCCACCGCCGCAACCUUCUGUACCCGUGAGAUCCCAUCUUGGGGCCUUUUCCGGCGUGCUGCCGGAGGGGGCAUUGAUCACGGAGGGCUUCUACAUCAACACCAUAUCCUCUCCGAUGAUGUGUGAGUAGUUUACCUCAGACCUUCGGGUCCAUAGUUAUUAGCUGGAUGGCUUCUUCUCUUUCUUUGGAUCUCAAUACAAAGUUCUCCACGAUUCUCGUGGAGAUCUAUUAGAUGUAAUCUUCUUUUGCGGUGUGUUUGACGGGACCGAUGAAUUGUGGGUUUAUGAUCAAGUUUAUCUAUGAACAAUAUUUGAAUCUUCUCUGAAUUCUCUUAUGUAUGAUUGGUUAUCUUUGCAAGUCUCUUCGAAUUAUCAGUUUGGUUUGUCCUACUAGAUUGAUCUUUCUUGCAAUGGGAGAAUUGCUUAGCUUUGGGUUCAAUCUUGCGGUGUCCUUUCCCAGUGACAGCAGGGGCAGCAAGGCACGUAUUGUAUUGUUGCCAUCGAGGAUAACAAGAUGGGGUUUAUAUCAUAUUGCAUGAGUUUAUGCCUCUACAUCAUGUCAUCUUACUUAAAGCGUUACUCCGUUCUUAUGAACUUAAUACUCUAGAUGCAUGCUGGAUAGCGGUCGAUGUGUGGAGUAAUAGUAGUAGAUGCAGGCAGGAGUCGGUCUACUUGUCACGGACGUGAUGCCUAUAUACAUGAUCAUACCUAGAUAUUCUCAUAACUAUGCUCAAUUCUAUCAAUUGCUCGACAGUAAUUCGUUUACCCACCGUAAUACUUAUGCUAUCUUGAGAGAAGCCACUAGUGAAACCUAUGGCCCCCGGGUCUAUUUUCCAUCAUAUUAAUCUCCUGACAACUAGCUAUUUCUGGCGCCGUUUAUUUUGCUUUCUUUAGUUUUACUCUUUACCAUAAAAACACCAAAAAUAUUAUCUUAUCAUCUCUAUCAGAUCUCACUCUCGUAAGUGAGCGUGAAGGGAUUGACAACCCCUUUAUCACGUUGGUUGCGAGGUUCUUAUUUGUUUGUGUAGGUGCGUGGGACUCGAGCGUGGUCUCCUACUGGAUUGAUAUCUUGGUUCUCAAAAACUGAGGGAAAUACUUACGCUACUUUACUGCAUCACCCUUUCCUCUUCAAGGGAAAACCAACGCAGUGCUCAAGAGGUAGCAAGAAGGAUUUCUGCCGCCGUUGCCGGGGAGUCUACGCACAAGUCAAGACAUACCAAGUACCCAUCACAAACUCUUAUCCCUCGCAUUACAUUAUUUUCCAUUUGCCUCUCGUUUUCCUCUCCCCCACUUCACCCUUGCCGUUUUAUUCACCUUUUCUUCGCCUUCUUCCCGUAUGUCCUUUUGUUUGUGUUUCCAUGUGCCUUCUAUUUGCUUGCAUCUUUACUUGCUAAAAAUCUAUUGAUAUGGAUCCACUUAAAGUGUUCUACUUGGAUCAUCUUCAAUCCUUAUUGCCCUCGUGUUGAAACCCCAACUAGCCUAGUUGAUGGGAAAUCUUUAGAUGAGCAUGCUCAUUUUGUGCUUCACCGUUUGUCUGAAAAAGGGAAACUCUUAUGGGGUCAAAUAAACAGAUUGUUGUGUUAUGCUUGGAAUCUUUGUGAAAUUCAUGAUUUUACUUGUUGCUCUAAGAACCCUAAAAAACACCUUCCCUACCUAUGUGAGUUUAAAGAAAAUGAAAUCUUAUCUUCUUAUGCAAAGGGUGUUUAUAGUUACUAUGAUAUCGAACAAAUUGAAGAAUUUGUUGCUUUUAAGCGUGCUUAUGAAGUAGCUUCUUUGAUUGAAAAGUAUGAUAUUACUCUCUACGAAUCUGAAAUUUUUGACAUACUUAAAUAUUGCUAUGAAAACUAUGCUCAUAAUGUCUAUGUCAAAGAAUUUAUUGAGAGAAUGACCGUUGCUUUGGAAGAAAAUAAUGAUAUGCAUGAAUCUAUGGAUAAUGAUGAUUCCGAUGAUUUGAUUGAAAUAUCCCUUGAUGAACAUGAUGCUUUCUACUCUUGUGGCCAUGAUGCCAAUCUUUAUGAAGAUGAAUUUUCUAUAGUUCCUUAUGUUAAAUAUGAGAUCGUUGCUAUUGCACCCAUACUUGGUAGUUCCUUCGAUGAAAAGCAUGAUUGCAAUGAUGUUAUUAUAAAUUCUCUUAAUGCCAAUUGUGCUAAUAAUAUGCAAAACCCUAAGCUUGGGGAUGAUAGUUUUGCUACAUCUACUACUUGUUGCAAUGAUCAUGAUUGGGGUGAUUCUUCUUAUGAUCUUGAAAAUUUAUUUAAGCCCCAUGAUGAAUAUGAGAUUGAUAUUAGUGUUUGCAAUAGUAUUGAAAGUGGGUUUGGAAGAGUGUCAACUUUAGAUCCCACAUAUUUGGAGAAUGUUCAAUCUUAUGAAUUUUUUUGAUAAAAGUGGGUUUGGAGAGGUCAUGACUUUAGUUAAUGUUAAUCCCACUAUUUUGGAAGAGUGUCAACUUUGCAUGCAUGUGGAUCGUGUUGAAAAUAUUUUAUGUGAUAGCUAUUUUGUUGAAUUUGAUUAUGACCCUACAUGUAAUUAUUAUGAGAAAGGAAAAUAUGGUUGUAGAAAUUUUCAUGUUACAAAAUUACCUCUCGUUAUAUUGAGAUUGCUAUUGUUCCUUUCUUCUUCCAACAAUCGGAGUGACAAAUCCUAAUCUCGAUCUAUGCCAACUGAACAAACAGCAUCGGAGACACCUGUAGAUCAUCUUUAUAAUUCCCAGUUACGUUGUGACGUUUGAUAGAACACAAAGUGUUCCUCCGGUAUUCGGGAGUUGCAUAAUCUCAUAGUCAUAGGAACAUGUAUAAGUCAUGAAGAAAGCAAUAGCAAUAAACUAAACGAUCAUAGUGCUAAGCUAACGGAUGGGUCUAGUCCAUCACAUCAUUCUCUAAUGAUGUGAUCCCGUUCAUCAAAUGACAACACAUGUCUAUGGUUAGGAAACUUAACCAUCUUUGAUUAACGAGCUAGUCUGGUAGAGGCAUACUAGGGACACUCUAUUUGUCUAUGUAUUCACACAUGUACUAAGUUUCCGGUUAAUACUAUUCUAGCAUGAAUAAUAAACAUUUAUCAUGAUAUAAGGAAAUAUAAAUAACAACUUUAUUAUUGCCUCUAGGGCAUAUUUCCUUCAACAGUAACUGAUCGACCUGUCGUGGGGUGAGCCGUUUCGAUUAAGUUGUCAGGCUAAGUGGAACUGUUCACACCGAGAUGGCUGGCCUUAGGGGCUAAGUUAUCCGAUCUCUUCGGACAAAGGGUACAAGUUCGGUUGAGCCUCGGCCGACAUCGCUCCUUUGAAGGAGUGAUCCAAGGAUUGUAAGGUGGAACUCGUCUGUCGAGCCAAGGACUCCGGAUCCCAGGUUGUUGUUGUCAGGAAGGUCGUCCUCGGCAUAUAAGACCAGUUCGGGGGCUACUGACGGUGUCCUGGAUAAGGGGUUACUAACCUAGUCGGCCCAUGCUCCUCGGGCUGGGCCGAUGGGCCCUCGCUUGUACUCAAGAUGGACUCCGGAGGCCGUACGUAGGAGGCGUGAUCAAGACUACCUCCACCGAAGACUUGAUGUAUGCUCCAAGAUCUCUCAUGCCGCCUUGCUCCUAGAUACCGACCUUGUAACCCUAGAUGCCAUCCUUGGCGUAUAUAUAAGCCAUAGGGUUUAGCCCGUAAAGGGGAGAUCAACGCAAUAUCAUUCACCUAACCGUAGAGUUAGUCCACAUAUUACAAUCUCAAGGUAGAUCGACUCUGUACUCGAUAUAUCUUCAUCAGUAUAAACAAGAGUAAAACGUACGGUUUUACCUCCAUAGAGAGGGCCCAAACCUGGGUAAACAUCGUCUCCUUCGUUCCUAUCACCCUUGAUCCGAGAUCCAUAGCUCGGGACCCCCUACCUCGAGGUCUGCCGGUUUUGACACCGAAAAUCAGUUUCAUAUUUCUUGCUUUCUCGAGGUCAUGAUAAAUGAAGAGAAUCGUAUCGUCGGCAUACUGAAGUAUAGAGAUACCAUCAUCAACUAGAUGAUUUACUACCCCAUUAAUUUGGCCCAACCCUGGCAUGCCCAAUCAUGACCGCUAGCAUAUCCACCACUAUAUUGAAUAGCAUCGGCGAUAACGAUGUUGGAAAUAUGCCCUAGAGGCAAUAAUAAAUGGUUAUUAUUAUAUUUCCUUGUUCAUGAUAAUUGUCUAUUGUUCAUGCUAUAAUUGUGUUAUCCGAAAAUCGUAAUACAUGUGUGAAUACAUAGACCACAACAUGUCCCUAGUAAGCCUCUAGUUGACUAGCUCGUUGAUCAACAGAUAGUCAUGGUUUCCUGACUAUGGAGAUUGGAUGUCAUUGAUAACGAGAUCACAUCAUUAGGAGAAUGAUGUGAUGGACAAGACCCAAUCCUAAGCAUAGCACAAAAGAUCAUGUAGUUCGUUUGCUAGAGCUUUUCCAAUGUCAAGUAUCAUUUCGUUAGACCAUGAGAUCGUGUAACUCCCGGAUGCCGUAGGAGUGCUUUGGGUGUACCAAACGUCACAACGUAACUGGGUGACUAUAAAGGUACACUACGGGUAUCUCUGAAAGUGUCUGUUGGGUUGACACGGAUCGAGACUGGGAUUUGUCACUCCGUAUGACGGAGAGGUAUCUCUGGGCCCACUCGGUAAUGCAUCAUCAUAAUGAGCUCAAUGUGACUAAGGAGUUAGCCUCGGGAUCAUGCAUUACGGUACGAGUAAAGAGACUUGCCGGUAACGAGAUUGAACAAGGUAUUGGGAUACCGACGAUCGAAUCUCGGGCAAGUAACGUACCGAUUGACAAAGGGAAUUGUAUACGGGAUUGAUUGAAUCCUCGACAUCGUGGUUCAUCCGAUGAGAUCAUCGUGGAACAUGUGGGAGCCAACAUCGGUAUCCAGAUCCCGCUGUUGGUUAUUGACCGGAGAGGCGUCUCAGUCAUGUCUGCAUGUCUCCCGAACCCGUAGGGUCUACACACUUAAGGUUCGGUGACGCUAGGGUUGUAGAGAUAUUAGUAUGCGGAAACCCGAAAGUUGUUCGGAGUCCCGGAUGAGAUCCCGGACGUCACGAGGAGUUCCGGAAUGGUCCGGAGGUGAAGAAUUAUAUAUAGGAAGUCCAGUUUCGGCCACCGGGAAAGUUUCGGGGGUUAUCGGUAUUGUACCGGGACCACCGGAAGGGUCCCGGGGGUCCACCGGGUGGGGCCACCUAUCCCGGAGGGCCCCAUGGGCCGAAGUGGGAAGGGAACCAGCCCUUAGUGGGCUGGGGCGCCCCCCCUUGGGCCUCCCCCUGCGCCUAGGGUUGGAAACCCUAGGGGUGGGGGGCGCCCCACUUGCCUUGGGGGGCAAGCCACCCCCUUGGCCGCCGCCUCCCCUCAGAUGGGAUCUCCAGGGUGGCCGGCGCCCCCCCCAGGACCCCUAUAAAUAGUGGGGGAGAGGGAGGGCAGCAACAACACAGCCCCUAGCGCCUCCCUCUCCCCCUGCGCAACACCUCUCCCUCCCGCUUGUGCUUGGCGAAGCCCUGCCGGGAUCCCCGCUACUUCCACCACCACGCCGUCGUGCUGCUGGAUCUCCAUCAACCUCUCCUUCCCCCUUGCUGGAUCAAGAAGGAGGAGACGUCGCUGCUCCGUACGUGUGUUGAACGCGGAGGUGUCGUCCGUUCGGCACUCCACUAGUAGGAAAAGGGGCUUUUACCCCGGUUCAUAAGGGCCUUUAGUCCCGGUUCUUACACGAACCGGGACUAAAGGCCGUCCACGUGGCCGGUGCGGGGAGCCCAGGCAGCAGGGCCUUUGGUCCCGGUUGGUGCCACCAACCGUUAGCAAUAGGCAUCCAUGCGUCAGCACCUGGCAGGAGUUGAGGUUUUUGUUUUUUUUUGAAAGGGGUUGGAUUAGGGGUUUUGGGGGUUAAUUUAGGUGUUUCAUAUAUUGUGUUAGCUAGCUAAUUAAUAGAGAGAAGUGUCCUCUCUUAUCUCCGUGCUUGGUCAAUGCUACGUACUAUAUACGUAUGGAGAGGAGUAGACACGCUAGCUAGUAAUCAAAUGAAGGAAACAAAAGAUCGUCAUGAACAUAUGCAUACAGAGAGAAGUGAUAUCGACCACCUCUCCUUCUCCGAGAUAUUGGUCGAACAACAAGUUCUCGUAUAUCUAUCCGACACUACCGGCUACAUAUAUACAAUAAUUAUCUCUUACAAUACAAUCUCCUAAUUAUAUUGUAGGAACACAGGGUCCACAUAGUAUUCUCCGUUUUCAGCGAUCACGUGGUCAAGGAAGAAUGCCGCCAAUUCCUCUUGAAUUGCUCGCAUACGAUGUUCUGCUAGGAGUUCAUCCCGCAUCCGAAAGAUCUAAUUUGAAGAAGGGGGUCAAUACAUAUAUAUAUAUAUAUAUAUAUAUAUGAAUAAAUGAAACUCAACACAAAUGAUGGUAAUAAAAUAAAAUUGUGAAUAUUAUUGCUUACGCACUUCAUAUUGUUCUUCAGUGUAGCCCCGCUCACAGGUCGUGUGGUGGAUGGACUCGCAAACGUAGUAUCCACAGUAAUUAUUCCCGGGUUCCUGCCACAACCACUUUACAAGAAAUAGAGGUCAAUCAAACUGAUAAGCAAGCAUGCUAAAUGGUAUUGAUGAAACUAGCGCUUGAAUCACUAGGAGAUGCGCGGAACAUGCUACUAUGGUACUUACUUUCAGGUGUCUAAAUUGCAGCUUCUUCGGGAGUCCCGGAGCUUUUGAGGUGAAUUUUCUCCAAACCCUGCGAGACAAAGAAAACAAUUACUUGAUAUCAGGAAAUGAACAAAGUUGCUGAUAUGGUGGAUAAUGAUCGAUUUAACUUACUUCUGGAGCAUUUGAGUCAUGUUCGCAUAGUCCUGGGGAUCUUUUCGUCUCGAGUCUAAGACGGUUACUACUCCCGGCUCAAGCUUAAUCUCUAGGAGAAUAUAGUGGAAGCUACGCAUGCAUGCAUAAGUCAUCAAUUACAUUACCAUAACCUGGACUAAUAAGGGAAACCGAAUAUGCACAAGACAGUAACACUCACUUGAAGUUGUAAGGAAAGAGUAUUAUAUCUUUGUUUUGAUUUAAUACCAACGAUUGUAGCAAGUUGGCCUCGGCUUCUUUGGGAUUUUUUUCAACCGUAUAUGCAUCUAUGAGAUUUGUGUUAAUGAACCCAAUAUCACCGAUUUGUCUUUUCUUCAAUUCGGCGAUCUUCAAUCUGCAUAAUAUAGUGAGGAUAAGUAUAAAUACAUGCAAUGAAAGAGCUGACCUAUAUAGAGAGACUUAAUGACAGAAGUAGUACUACUUACACACAGUAGCAAGUGAUCGUUGUUUUAUCGAGGGACUUUUGAUUGUAAAACUGUAAGAAAUCCUCAAAUGGAACAUUCAGCAGUUCAAUUCCAACGAGGUCAUGCUCCGGUUUAACUCUCAGCGUCAAAGUACUCAUCCCAUCAGACUCUCUGCAGGUUUUCAUGUACCAAUCAUGUAGUCUUCGCAUCAUCGUGCUUAGAUAUCUGACAUCUUUGACGAGAGGCUUCCCGUAAUGGUAUUUGUGGUCGUCCACCUCCAUGAUUUCAUAAUGUACAUCGUCGGGUAGGUAAUCUCCAAGAUUGCUAUAACCGGGCACCAUACCCGGAUCAUUAGCGACGAUGUCUUUUGACACCUUGAGCAGGGGGCACGAUUGGUUCGCUUGUUCGCCGAGCUGGGCAAUUUUUUUCCCAGCUCGUCGUUCUUUCAUCCUUUUAUCACUGACAGUACUUCCCGACCGCUCCGCUUCGGCAUAUGGCUUUGCAAGAACGCACUCAUAGUUUCCUCUCGGCGGAGACUUUGGUGGUUUUGUCAGGGCAGCCAGAGUGCACUUUGCUUUCACCGGAUCUACCUUCUCCUCCGGAGGUGGAUGUUUCUUUGCUUUCACCCCUUCAAAGAAGUUCUUCACUUCGGCUCGCACGAUCUUCGCGUUCUCCUCCUCGGUCCUCUCAUAUGGUAACUUCUCUGGAGUCUUCAGAGAAGGAACGAAUCUGUAUUGCCUCCCGCCUCUGGCAGCUGUACUGCUAGACGCCGGCAGAGCAGACGGAGCGGCUGCGGCUGUCUUCUUUCCUUGCUUACGAGGCGGAGGAGAAGGACUACGACGCGCCGGAGCAGCCGCAGCGGGUCUCUUCCGCCCUUGCUGACGAGGCGGAGAAGGAGGAGGCUGGCUGCUCUUGCGCGCCGGCGCUAGCGGAGAAAGAGGCGGAGUGCCGCCACGCGCCGGAGAAGGAGGCUGAGUGCCCUGAUCACUCGCCGGAGGAGGAGGCGGAGGAGGAGGCGGAGUGCCCUUACUCGCCGAAGCCGUCCAGUUCGGAAGCUUGAUGAGCUCCUUCCGCCAUAGGCAUGGAGUCUUCAGAGCUAAACCCAGCCGAGUCUCCCCUUCACCGGUAGGGUGGUCAAGCUGGAGGUCCUCAAAUCCCUCCGUUAUUUCAUCCACCAUCACCCUAACAUAUCCUUCUGGAAUCGGCCGGCAGUGGUAGGUUGCGUCGGGUUCAGUAGGUAAAACAGAGCCAACAGCCACCUUGACUUUCAAGUUCUGCCAUUCCGCCAUAAGGUGGCAAUGUUGAGACUCCGUGAUAGCAUCCACGGGGUAGCUAGCAGGAGCCGCAUGCUCCAGCUGAGGCAGCUCGGUGGAAGCCAUGCUGCUUCUAUGCUGAGAUGGCGGUGUAGCUUCGGGGGCAGUUUCGGCAUCUCGAUUGCCGUCUCGUUCCUCUAGCACUUGAACCCUUUCGUGCAGACGCUGAAUUUGGAUCUGCUCCACUUUUUUCCUCCUCUCCUGGGUUUUGUAACCACCCACGUCCGAAAAACCAGCCUUCCACGGAACGGAGCCUGGCGUGCCUCGUGUUCGUCCAGGGUGCUCAGGAUUCCCGAGGGCCAUUGUGAGCUCGUCGUUCUCUCUGUCUGGAACGAACGUCCCUUGCUGCGCUGCAUCGAUAUAGUGCUUAAGCUUAUUGACGGGUAUUGCAAGUUGCUCGUCCGUCCAACGACACCUCCCUGAUACAGGGUCCAAGGUUCCGCCAGCCCCGAAGAACCAAGUCCGGCAACGGUCUGGCCAGUUCAUUGUCUCUGGUUCGAUCCCUUUAUCAAGCAGAUCCCUCUCAGACUUGGCCCACUUAGGCCAGGCUUUGAGGUAGCCACCUGACCCCGUGCGAUGGUGAAGCUCCUUCUUCGCAGCAUUCUUCUUGUUUGUCGCUGACAUCUUCUUACUCCUUUUCGAUGUCUUGUGGGCCACAAAUGCGGGCCAGUGAUCUCUGAUCUUCUCAUACCGGCCGAUGAAUUCUGGUGUCUCUUCUUUGCGACAAACGUUUUCAGCUCAUUCUUCCACCUCCUAAAUAAGUCUGCCAUCUUCUUAAGAGCAUGAGACUUGAUUAAUUGCUCUACAACUGGCUUCUCCGGAUCCUCCUCUGGCGGUAGGGUGAAAAUUUGCCUUCAGCUCAGUCCAAAGAUCAUCUUUCUGCAUAUCAUUGACAUAAGACACCUCAGGGUCUUCCUUCUUAGGCUUAUACCAUUGGUGGAUCCUGAUCGGGAUCUUGUCCCUAACUAGAACCCCGCACUGAGCAGCAAAAGCAUCCUUUGUCCGGAGGGGUUCAAUCGGUUGGCCGUCGCGCGCGAUUGCUGUGAUCUCAAACCUUUCAUCCGAGCACAACUUUCUCUUCGGGCCUCGUCUCUUUACCGCAGUUGUGCUCGAUCCGGAGGGCUAGAAAAAAGGAGAAAGACGAGUGUUAAUUAAUAUGUGUACAUACCAAAACAAUGAAUGCAUCAAUUAGCUAGUCAGCACAGGCUUAACUAAUAUAUUUACCUGGCCGGACUCUGUUCGGUCACCGGAGCCGUCACCAUGGGCUCCUUCUUGCACCAGCAUUGGGUCACCGGAGCCAUCAUAAUCAUGUCUUUCCUCCUCCACUCUUCGAUCACCGCAGCCUGCUUCUUCACCCUGUUCUUCCAGACCAUCAUUGUCGUUAAGAUACGACAAGAUAUCACCUCCGGCUAAGAUUAUGUCCCCCAACACGUCUUCUGCUUGCUCCUCUCGUCCGUGCUCCAUUGUUUCUGCAAAUAUUACAACAUGGCAAUUAUUACACAAACAUGACAGCAGGUGGAUAUAUUAGUGCAAACGUAGACCUAGCUUAUUCCGGGUUUGGGGUGGCCUAGGCAACGCUUCAAGGGUAGGGGCGCGGCGGGAGGGGGUAGGAGACCGACAUCGUUUUUUCUAGGGUUUGGGUGUCCUCGAGAGUUUUGGUCGAGCGAGAGGGCCGGGGGGGUGCUCCCGUGGUAUAAGUUAUCACGGUCGAGAGGGGGUAUACAUAUCGACCGUCCAUCAUGUCGAAGUUAUCUGGGAGGGAGUUAUAUAUAUCGACAACGACGACAUACUUACAUGGGAAAGUAAUGUUAUCGGGGAGGGGGUAUAUAUCGAACCCUCCCACGUGUUGAAGUUAUCGGGAGGGGGUUUUAUAUCGACAACGACGACAUACAUACACGGGAAAAUAAUGUUAUCGAGGAGGGGGUAUAUCGACCCCCCCCCUCGUGUUGAAGUUAUCCCCCCUCGUGUUGAAGUUAUCGGGAGGGGUAUAUAUCGACGACGACAGACCCGAUAAAACAUAAGAAAACGAAGAAGAAAUAAAAAGAGGAGAGAAGUAGAAAUGAAUAGAGGAGAGGAUUGAAGAAAAAAAAGAAGAAAAAAAAAGAGGAAAGAAAAUUUUCUAUUUUUUCUUCUUCUCCUCUAUUCCUUUCUUCUUCUCCUCUUCUUUUUCUUCUUUUUUCCUCUUCUUAUUUAUUUCUCCUCUUCUUCCUCUCCUCUUCUUCUUCCCUUCCUAGCUAGAUAUAUAAAACUUUUCUAAAAUUGUAACUUUUGCAUAUAUAGAACUUUUCCAUGUGGAUCAUCAUUUCUCAUAUAUAUCGAAUAUAUAUCCAUUGUCAUAUAUAAAAACUUUCUAUAUAUGAACAAAAAAACAUUUUUGACAUAUAUAUUCAUACAUUUUGAACAUCUACAUACAUACAAAAAAAUUUUGUUCACAUAUACAUUAUAGCCACAUACACAUAUACAUCACAUAUGAACAAAAAAAUUAAACUAAUAAAAAUAAAAAAACAGAGCCGGGGCGGCGGCUCUCACAGCGGGGGCAGCUAGGACGAUGGCGACGGCGGGGGCGGCGAGGGCGCNNNNNNNNNNNNNNNNNNNNNNNNNNNNNNNNNNNNNNNNNNNNNNNNNNNNNNNNNNNNNNNNNNNNNNNNNNNNNNNNNNNNNNNNNNNNNNNNNNNNNNNNNNNNNNNNNNNNNNNNNNNNNNNNNNNNNNNNNNNNNNNNNNNNNNNNNNNNNNNNNNNNNNNNNNNNNNNNNNNNNNNNNNNNNNNNNNNNNNNNNNNNNNNNNNNNNNNNNNNNNNNNNNNNNNNNNNNNNNNNNNNNNNNNNNNNNNNNNNNNNNNNNNNNNNNNNNNNNNNNNNNNNNNNNNNNNNNNNNNNNNNNNNNNNNNNNNNNCGGUUGGUGCCACCAACCGGGACCAAAGGCCUUGCGCUGCCCGCGGCCAAAAGUUUAGUCCCACCUCGCUAGUUGAGAGGGGCUCGGAGUGGUUUAUAAGCCCCACUGCGGCUGCCCUCUCGAGCUCCUCUCAAAUGCAUGCUUACGGGCCUAAUGUCACACUGUGCUGUCUGUUGGCCUAUUGGGCCUUCUGCGGGCCUGAAUCCUGGCCCAAGUUGGGUUUCUAGCCGUAUUCAGGCCGUGGUGGCCCAAUAGGUGGCAGUUUUUUAAAAAAAAUUCCAGUUUUUUGGUUCUGUUUUUUGCAUUAUUUAUUUUCUUUUGUUUCUUGCUUUAUUUUUGAAUUCCUUUUGCUUUUAGGUCAGCAAAAUUAUAAACUGUCUGUUAUUGCCAUUAGUUUUAGAAAACAUAUAAACUUUCUAUUAGUGCCAUUAGUUCUUUAUGAAAAUUCUUUUUGCUGUAUUUAGUUUUUUUGUUUUCUGUUUUGCUAUAUUUAUUUUGUUUUGUUUCUACUUACAACAAAAAACUUAUUUAUUUUAUUUUAUUUUGUUUCUAAUUAGUUAUUUAUUUUACUUUAUGAUAAUUCUUUCUGCUAUUAAAGUUUCUAUCAAAAAAAGUUCUUUAUGAAAAUUCUUUUUGCUUUUAAUGAUUAAAAAUAAAAAAGAGGCGCAAUGCGCGUUGAUUUGCUUCAAGUCUUUCGGAAUAGUGUAGACUGCACUGCACAUAGCUCGAUGCAGUCUACCUUAUUCCUCAAGGCUUGAAGCUAAGCAGCGUGAGCAUUGCGCCUCUUCUUCAUCGUCUCUGCACUCAGGGCUUAUAAACCGCUCCUAGUGCCUCUCAGCUAGCGAGGUGGGACUAAAAAACUGCUUAGCUAGUAAGAAACUCUAGUACCGGUUCGUGCCACGAACAGGUACUUAAGGUGCUCGUGGGGCCACAGCCUCAUUAGUACCGGUUCGUGGCACAAACAGGGACCAAAGGGUGGAAUUGGUCCCGGUUCGUGCCACCAACCGGGACCAAUGGCCUUGCACAGCGGCGUGGUGGUGUGUUUAGUCCCACCUCGCUAGCUAAGAGAGAGCCGCACCUGUUUAUAAGGAAGACCAAAAGGUCGAGCAUGAGUCGUAUAGAAGAUACGAUCAACAUGGAGAUGUUCACCGAUCUUGACUAGUCCGUCUCACGUGAUGAUCGGACACGGCCUAGUUAACUCGGAUCAUGUUUCACUUAGAUGACUAGAGGGAUGUCUAUCUGAGUGGGAGUUCAUUGAAUAAUUUGAUUAGAUGAACUUAAUUAUCAUGAACUUAGUCUAAAAUCUUUACAAUAUGUCUUGUAGAUCAAAUGGCCCACGUUGCCCUCAACUUCAACGCGUUCCUAGAGAAAACCAAGCUGAAAGAUGAUGGCAGCAACUAUACGGACUGGGUCCGGAACCCGAGGAUCAUCCUCAUAGCUGCCAAGAAAGAUUAUGUCCUAGAAGCACCGCUAGGUGAAGCACCAAUCCCAGAGAACCAAGACGUUAUGAACGCUUGGCAAUCACGUGCUGAUGAUUACUCCCUCGUUCAGUGCGGCAUGCUUUACAGCUUAGAACCGGGUCUCCAAAAGCGUUUUGAGAAACAUGGAGCAUAUGAGAUGUUCGAAGAGCUGAAAAUGGUUUUCCAAGCUCAUGCCCGGGUCGAGAGAUAUGAAGUCCCCGACAAGUUCUUCAGCUAUAAAAUGGAGGAAAAUAGUUCUGUUAGUGAGCACAUACUCAGAAUGUCUGGGUUACACAACCGCUUGUCUCAGCUGGGAGUUAAUCUCCCGGAUGACGCGGUCAUUGAAAGAAUCCUUCAGUCGCUUCCACCGAGCUACACGAGCUUUGUGAUGAACUUCAAUAUGCAGGGGAUGGAAAAGACCAUUCCUGAGGUAUAUUCAAUGCUGAAAUCAGCGGAGGUGGAGAUCAAAAAGGAACAUCAAGUGUUGAUGGUGAAUAAAACCACUAAGUUCAAGAAAGGCAAGGGUAAGAAGAACUUCAAGAAGGACGGCAAGGGAGUUGCCGCGCCCGGUAAGCCAGUUGCCGGGAAGAAGUCAAAGAAUGGACCCAAGCCUGAGACUGAGUGCUUUUAUCGCAAGGGAAGUGGUCACUGGAAGCGGAACUGCCCCAAAUACUUAGCGGACAAGAAGGCCGGCAACACCAAAGGUAUAUGUGAUAUACAUGUAAUUGAUGUGUACCUUACAAGUACUCGUAGUAGCUCCUGGGUAUUUGAUACCGGUGCGGUUGCUCAUAUUUGUAACUCAAAACAGGAACUGUGGAAUAAGCGGAGACUGGCAAAGGACGAGGUGACGAUGCGCGUCGGGAAUGGUUCCAAGGUUGAUGUGAUCGCCGUCGGCACGCUACCUCUGCAUUUACCUACGGGAUUAGUUUUAAACCUCAAUAAUUGUUAUUUAGUGCCAGCUUUGAGCAUGAACAUUGUAUCUGGAUCUCGUUUAAUUCGAGAUGGCUACUCAUUUAAAUCCGAGAAUAAUGGUUGUUCUAUUUAUAUGAGAGAUAUGUUUUGUGGUCAUGCUCCGCUGGUCAAUGGUUUAUUCUUGAUGAAUCUCGAACGUGAUGUUACACAUAUUCAUAGUGUGAAUACCAAAAGAUGUAAAGUUGAUAACGAUAGUCCCACAUACUUGUGGCACUGCCGCCUUGGUCACAUUGGUGUCAAACGCAUGAAGAAACUCCAUGCAGAUGGACUUUUGGAGUCUCUUGAUUACGAAUCAUUUGACACGUGCGAACCAUGCCUCAUGGGUAAGAUGACCAAGACUCCGUUCUCCGGAACAAUGGAGCGAGCAAUCAACUUAUAGGAAAUCAUACAUACCGAUGUGUGCGGUCCAAUGAGUGUUGAGGCUCGCGGAGGAUAUCGUUAUGUUCUCACUCUCACUGAUGACUUAAGUAGAUAUGGGUAUGUCUACCUAAUGAAACACAAGUCUGAAACCUUUGAAAAGUUCAAGGAAUUUUAGAGUGAGGUUGAGAAUCAACGUGACAGGAAAAUAAAAUUCUUAUGAUCAGAUCGUGGUGGAGAAUAUUUAAGUCACGAAUUUGGUACGCGCUUAAGGAAAUGUGGAAUCGUUUCACAACUCACGCCGCCUGGAACACCUCGGCGAAAUGGUGUGUCCGAACGUCGUAGUCGCACUCUAUUGGAUAUGGUGCGAUCUAUGAUGUCUCUUACCGAUCUGCCGCUCUCAUUUUGGGGCUAUGCUUUAGAGACUGCCGCAUUCACUUUAAAUAGGGCUCCGUCGAAAUCCGUUGAGACGACACCGUAUGAAUUAUGGUUUGGGAAGAAACCUAAGCUGUCGUUUCUAAAAGUUUGGGGAUGCGAUGCUUAUGUCAAGAAACUUCAACCUGAAAAACUCGAACCCAAGUCGGAAAAAUGCGUCUUCAUAGGAUACCCCAAGGAAACUGUUGGGUAUACCUUCUACCUCAGAUCCGAAGGCAAGAUCUUUGUUGCCAAGAACGGGUCCUUUCUGGAGAAAGAGUUUCUCUCGAAAGAAUUGAGUGGGAGGAAAGUGGAACUUGAUGAGGUGAUAGCCUCCACCGACUGGGGAGGAAAUUAAUGAUGAUGAUCAUGAAGCUUCGGAUCAAGUUACUGCUGAACUUCGUAGGUCCACAAGGACACGUUCCGCACCAGAGUGAUAUAGCAACCCUGUCCUGGAAAUCAUGUUGUUAGACAACGGUGAACCUUCAAACUAUGAAGAAGCGAUGGCGGGCCCGGAUUCCAACAAUUGGCUUGAAGCCAUGAAAUCCGAGAUAGGAUCCAUGUAUGAAAACGAAGUAUGGACUUUGACUGACUUGCCUGAUGAUCGGCGAGCCAUAGAAAAUAAAUGGAUCUUUAAGAAGAAGACAGACGCGGAUGGUAAUGUGACCAUCUAUAAGGCUCGACUUGUCGCUAAGGGUUAUCGACAAGUUCAAGGGGUUGACUACGAUGAGACUUUCUCACCCGUAGCGAAGCUGAAGUCCGUCCGAAUCAUGUUAGCAAUUGCCGCAUACUAUGAUUAUGAGAUAUGGAAGAUGGACGUCAAAACGGCAUUCCUUAAUAGCUUUCUUAAGGAAGAAUUGUAUAUGAUGCAGCCGGAAGGUUUUGUCGAUCCUAAGAAUGCUAACAAGGUAUGCAAGCUCCAGCGCUCCAUCUAUGGGCUGGUGCAAGCAUCUCGGAGUUGGAACAUUCGUUUUGAUGAGAUGAUCAAAGCGUUUGGGUUUACACAGACUUAUGGAGAAGCCUGUGUUUACAAGAAAGUGAGUGGGAGCUCUGUAGCAUUUCUCUUAUUAUAUGUGGAUGACAUACUAUUGAUGGGAAAUGAUAUAGAAUUCUUGGAAAGUAUAAAGGCCUAUUUGAAUAAGUGUUUUUCAAUGAAGGACCUUGGAGAAGCUGCUUAUAUAUUAGGCAUCAAGAUCUAUAGAGAUAGAUCAAGACGCCUCAUUGGUCUUUCACAGAGUACGUACCUUGACAAGAUAUUGAAGAAGUUCAAUAUGGAUCAGUCCAAGAAGGGGUUCUUGCCUGUAUUGCAAGGUGUGCAAUUGAGCACGACUCAAUGCCCGACCACAGCAGAAGAUAGAGAAAAGAUGAGUGUCAUCCCCUAUGCCUCGGCCAUAUGUGACACCCAAAUUUUUAUUUGGAUUUUUCAAAAGAUUUUAUUUGACUUGAGGGAGGUGAUUUAAAAAUUUUCUUCAAAAGAACUAUCCCAUUCAAAUAUUUUUUUCUUCUUUAUGGCAAAGGUUUUAUUUGGAUUCAUCCAAGAUCUGUCUUUGGUCUUGGAGGUUCUUGCUUUUUAUUUGGACUCAAGACAAAAUGUUUUUCAUUUGGGGAAAAUGACUUUUGAAAAUAUUUUUGAAAAUGCACUAUGGCUUUUGGAAUAAUCCUUUGCCACUUUCAACAUUUCUCUCUUGCCAUGGCCUUAGUGCAAAUCCACUCUCCUAACCCUCCCCUCAUCUUUGGAUCAUGUUUUGCAUCAAAUCCAGCAAGUUGAACCUCCCCCUAUGAUUAUUUUCCAUUUAAAUUUCAUCAAAUAAAUUUCUGUCUUCUACCCUAGCCCUUGGAGAUUUACAAAGGAGCUACCAUCUCUGCUUUGAUUUUUGGCCCCAAACCAAUUCCCCUUCCUAGUCCUUUGAACCCUCAACCAAGAUCCAUGAAGAUCCACUCGUCUUUAGUUCAAAUUUUUCAAACUACACUUGCUGCAAGUUUGGACCAGAUUUGUCAAAUUUGGUGAAAUUCAUUCAAAUCCCUCUCAAAAAAUUCUGAGUAAAAUCAGGCAGCCUCUGGGUGCAUUGAGUGGUCACCUCACCAAGUACCAGCUCCAAAAAAAAUUCUGCUUGCCAAAUCAUUCUGUCGAACACCUGCAGUGCAUUGUCAAUAUCAGGUUCAGUAAAGUUCAGAGAACAUUUCAGUGCGCUGUCGUUUUCUUCAGAGCCCGACGUCGAUCUCGCCAGUGCCACUGUGUCGCCGUGUUCCCUGUCCCCUCCCCCUUGUCCUCUGCACCGCACGAGCAUCUGGCAUCUUGCGGACGUCGGCGAAAAGCCGCCGCUGGCGUCGGUCACGAGGCCGCGCUGACGGCGCCACCCAGCGCCGCCCAAGCCACCGGAGCUCGCCGCGUGGCCUUCCACUCCCCAGAACGCGCUGCCACUCUCGUCGUGAACCGCAGGGCGCGGAGCGCGCUCUCUGCCGCCGACGUGCCCGUGCGGCCACUCCACCGUGGACCGGCGCCAUAACGCCAAGACCAACCGAGAUUUGCGGGGGAACGGCACCAGUAACCUCCACUGAUGCUGCCUGGCCACUCAAACCUCCUGCCAAUCCACUGCAUCGCCGUAAUUGCUCGCCGGAGAUUCUCCGUUCACGGCCACCCCGUCGAUCCGCCUAUAAAUAGAGGCCCCGAGCUUCAACUCGAACCCACACCAUCCCUGCACUCCACCUAGAGCACGCCUAGCCACUGGAAGAGCCCCGAGGAGGUCUCCUUCCUCGACUCCGGCCGCCGCGACCCGCCACGGGAUCCAGCUCGAUUCGCCCCCGUGCGUGCGCCUCUGCCUCCCAUCUCUUGCCAGUAGCUUCACUAUGCAUCCCUCCUUCUGACCCGCGCUUCAAUUCGAAGUUUGCAGCCCUCCACCGGAGUUCUCCACCAUCACCCGAGCCGCCGUCCGCCGGAGAAAGUGUCGCCGUCGACGUGGUGCUCCCCGUUAGUCGAGUCCACCACCCACCGACGCGGAAGAACACGCUGAAGCUCUUGGUACCCUCCGAUCUUCCUGACUCGCCGUGGUUCGACGCCGGCGUCCACCGCAGUCUUCGGGCGCCGGCGAGCUUUUUGAACCUGACAUGUGGACCCCCCAUGUCAGCCUCUGUUCUAAUCUCCCUCGACCCGUUUUCUGUUGGCGCCUUCGGGCAAAAUACGCUUUCCCUCUUUAGCUAGCGCAUUUCUUUCCGAAGCGUUUUCUGGUUUCUCAGUUUAAACCCUGGAACUUUUCUGUUUCAUUACAGAUAGGUCCCUGGACAGAAACCUUUAUAACUUUUUAAUAAAAAGGAAUUUUUGAGUGAUUCUUUUUCUGACCUUCUUAAAAUUUUGUCUAGUUUUUUAUGGGAUUUAUUUGGAAAAUUGUUGGAGAAGUUUCUGUGCACGCGUUGAUUUUCACGUUAGUGCCCAUUUCCGUUAUUGUCGUAGGUUCCGGAAGAGGUGAUGGAGCCGCGAACUUCGCCGAGCUAGACUCCGACUUCUCCGAACCAGGCAAGCAUGUUUGAACCUUUGAUAUGAUAGGUGUUUUGCAUGUUUGCAUGACAGUUGGAGCGUGGCAUAUGAGUGUCAGUGAGUACCUCGUUGCUUGUGAGGCAACUACCCGCAUGUUCCAAAGUUGCGAUGAUCUCUGAUGAGAGAUGGCCUAAUCAUGUGGUGACAUGAAGGGCAGCAAGGUGGUACUGUUGUAGCAUACCAGCCUUGCGUCAUCCGACGAAUUCCGACGUUAACGUGGACGGAGUCACGUUAUCGUUCUUUUCCCCUCCGUGCUGCCACAUGUUUCAUUUGCCAGGAUGCGGUUUAGUAAGUUGGUAACCUCUUUCCGUGUACACACCAAACAGAGGGGCCGGGAUGAUGGUACCUUGGCCCAGGAUUAAAGCCAGUCAUCCGGUCAGGGGGCAUGGGUGUUUCCGGUUGGGACCGAGAGGGGGGGCACCCCUUUAGAGCGCGCGUAUAGAAAUUUGAUCCCAUGCUACGCGAGGUUGUAGCCUUCCCGUCUCAAGGUUUUUCUUGAACGUUGCCGAGGGUGAUCCCUGGCUUCGGAAUAUUGAAAUGGGUGUGUACUGGUUAGACGUGUUUCUUCCAAAACACCGUAAACGGAACUAGUCCCCGUGACUACGGAAAUCUGUUGGCUGUGGUUAAGUACAAACUCUGCAGAGUCAAAUUCUUCCAAGUCAUCGUGUCCAUGAUCAAGUAGGGUAAUCAAUAUAUCCAUAUCUAUCCUCGUGGAAAACUUGUCUCCGGUGAACAAGCUCAAGUGGUAAACCCGGUUAAAUUAUUAUUACUAUGGAUGGACUAACCUUUUAUUUGUCUCGUACUUGUAAUAAUUUAUGAUCUCGAGCUACUGCAUUAUUGAGCUACAAUAUAAGCCCUUUAUGUGACGUCGCUCAGACGUCCGACUGUGGCAUGUCUUUGUUUCUCACUUUAAAUAUAAGCCCUUUAUGUGAUGUCGCUCAGACGUCCGACUGUGGCACACACUGCCUUUAUUUUCUGAUAUAAGCCCUUUAUGUGGUGUCGCCCCGACGCCCGACUGUGGCAUUAAUAUUCUGCAGUUUCCUCUCGAGGAGUCAUUCAGACACUCGUUUGGCACCAGUAUUACCAUUCUUGCAGUUUCCUCUCGAGGAGUCAUUCAGACACUCGUUUGGCACCAGUACUACUAUUCUUGCAGUUUCCACUCGAGGAGUCAUUCAGACCCUCGUUUGGCACCCAGCAUUUAUUAUCUCUAUGUCUGAACGCACUAGUUAACUUGUUUAUAUGCUUCAUGUUUACAUUUGUUAUAUCUUAUGUCCGAACUGUCUUGCGAGUACUUUCAUAGUACUCACCUGGCUUGUUGAUUUGGCUAGAUGUUGACGAAGGCGAUCUUUUGGAUGAAGAGUUUGAUAGCGCGUCCGACGCCUAGAGGAGUCCCAGUCAGUCCUGCGCGAUCCCGGAUAUUGGUCACUUGUAUUAUAUACGCUUCCGCCACCCGCAAUAACUCUCCUCGAGCCUCGCUUCGACGCUCGAAGAGCUGUAGUCUUCAGGAGUCAUAUCACUCGCUUCGCGGUGAUAUUUCCACCACCGUUAUUAUCGUGAGUUAGUAGUUAUGCCACCCUAUACGCCGUCUUGUUUUAUUAGCGUGCAUGUAAUAGAUUGUUGGGCAGUCUCCGCUCAACCUUGUAUUAUAUUCAGUACUCCUAGUAUUUUUCUUCUGUGACCAAGAUAUUGUCUACCAGUGGGAAGGGAUUCUUCCUUCUGGUCCGUAAAAGGGAUUGGUCUCUCAAUAAUUAUUUUAUUGAAAAACAGGUCGUGACAAGCUUGGUACUAGAGCCAGGCUGGCUGUAGGAAGCCACUAGGUGCGAUCGCUAAUCGGUUAUUAGCGUCUUUUGAGCUUUUUCAGCAUUUUGCAAAUUGUAGCUAUUUUCUGUUGGUCAUCAUAAAUUUAUGACAUGACUACUCAGAAUUUUUGCCUACUUUUGUAGAUGGCUAGCAGUAGCUGUGAGAAUCGAGUGUUCACGAACGUGCCCGAGGGGUUUGUCAAGCUCCUCGUCUCCAUCACCGAGCUCGCGAUCGGGCCAGCAGCCCGCCCGGAGUUCACGCUCUAUCAGCACAAGCUCAGCAACGAUGUGUCUAUGCACCAAGCUGUGGUGCAAUUCAAGGGAGGACGUUCUGCAGCUCGCCACUUCCGUUUUGUGGGAAGGGCCAUGCCUACGGAGAGGCAUGCCAUGCAGAUGGCUGCCCGUGAGGCGAUUGCUCGUCUUCGGGACAUCCUUCCUACGAUGAAGACUCGUCGCUACCGCUACCUCCCAUGCCAUGUGCCAUACACCAGUCACUAUGCAUUCGCCUGCCAUCGGGGAGAGCGAGAUGAAGCCAUCGAGAUGGUUGUGGAGUAUCUCAAGGCUCUGGAAGAGUCUUUCGACAACCUCGUGGACGAUCUUGUGGCUGCCCGCAUGGACUUAGUCCGGGGCGGUCCUGCCAGCAGGAAGGAGCUUCUCCACACGGCACCGCCUCUGACAUUCGUCUCGUCUUCAGCCUCUUAUGCACCGGCCGUUUUGGCCACUGUUCGCCGUCUGCCUACCACUGAGGAGUUCGACCGAGUCGUCGCUCCUACUCCAGUCAGGGCUGCACCGCCUGCCGCACCCGCGCUACCACCUGUCGCUCCCGCGCCAUCACCACAGCGCAGCGUUACGCGCCAGGAGCUAGCUAGAGAGGAGGUGGAGGUUGAUUCUCCUGGACCACUGAGUCUUGCCAUCGGCAAGGGGAAGGAAAUCUACACCAUCUCCGACUGAGAGCGCCGAGUAGCCGCGCGUUAUGUCUAUUUGUAUGAUGUGUUUUCUCUGUACGCUAGUUUGUAUUGGUGUGUUUGCUACCUUCCGGAGGAGUACGCUAGUCUAAAUAACAUGUCAGGAAUGUGUACGCGCAUCCUGAGUGCUGUAUCGUGUGUUUGCUUUUCGCGUGUAAGAAUUGUGUUAAGCAGUCUUUUCUCCAUACAAAACCGCUUAUGUUUUCCUUGAAAACCUUGAAGUCUUUUAAAUUGUUGCCUUUGCAAGAUUUUCCUGGUGCUACACAGUUUUUCUCAUGGGUUUUGCAAAAUAAUACCCCAGACUGGAAAAAUGUCUCAUCCGUGGACUCGCUCCAUGCCCAAUCAGCCAGAAGAGGUUUAUGGGACACAGACUAGCAACAACUUCACUCAGGGUCAGUCCAGUCAACAAGACAGCGAAGCAGCCCUGUCUCAAGUCUGCCGUCUCUUCGAGCAAAGCCAGCAACAGCACCAAGAGAUGAUGAAUCAUGUCAUCAAUAUGGGAAACCACCGCGAACCCUAUCAACCACAUUCCAAGUUAUCUGAGUUACAGAAGACUCGCCCUUCAACUUUUGCUCACACCGACAGGCCGCUGGAAGCCGAUGAUUGGCUUCGUGACAUUGAAAGGAAACUGAUUAUUGCUCAGUGUUCAGAUCAUGAGAAGGUGCUUUAUGCGCCACACUACCUUACUGGAGCAGCUGCAGCAUGGUGGGAGAACUUCCUACACAUGCAUCCCAGUGAACACAACAUCACCUGGGAAGAGUUCAAGGAAGGCUUCCGUGGGGCACACAUCCCCAGGAGCAUCAUAAAAAUCAAGAAGAGAGAGUUUGAUGACCUGAAGCAGAGAGGCAUGUCAGUGACAGAAUACAAUGGUCAAUUUACCCAGCUAUCUCGUUAUGCCUACGACGAGCACAUGACAGAAAACAAGAAGAUGGAAAAAUUCCUGGACGGCCUGGCACCAGCACUAAGAUGCCAACUGAUUGUACACACAUUUCCGGAUUUUAAAACUCUGGUGGACAAGGCCAUUACCUUGGAGAAUGAGCGCCGUAGUCUGGAAGAUGUCCGUAAGCGAAAGAGGGACAAAACGACUCUUGCUCGCAACAACCGAAACAAGACUGAGGUUCCACGGACAGAAGCAAGGAGAUCCACGAUUACUGAUCCAAGGCCCGUCGGACAGUUUCAUGCCAGGGACAAGGAGUACACGUACCGUCCAGGGGUCACCUGCUAUGCUUGUGGUCAAGAAGGGCACUAUGCUAAACAAUGCCCAAAGCCGAGGAACGCGGCCCCCAAACCAAACAAUGGUGGAAACAAUCCAGCCCCCAAGCGCAACAAUUUCAAUCCCAACAACAACCACAGGAAGGGUCACCUGAACCAUGUGACCAGGGAAGAAGCGCAGAAUGCCCCAGACAUCGUGCUCGGUACGUUCCCUGUCAACACAGUACCUGCCACGGUUUUGUUUGAUUCUGGAGCUUCCCAUUCGUUCGUUUCGAAGAGUUUUGUUUUGCGACAUGGUUUUCCGAUACUUCCCUUGGAAAAAUCUAUGAUCAUCAAGUCCCCCGGAAAUAAGCAAAUCGCUCAGGGUUACUGCCAAGGAGUGGUCAUUGAGUUCGAAGGACUACAAUUCCAAGCAAAUCUCAUCGUGUUGGAGAGUAAAGGACUGGAUGUCAUUUUAGGAAUGGACUGGUUGACCACCAACAAAGGAUUCAUUUACUGUUUCAAUCGGACCGUGAUUCUCACCCACCAUCAUGGCAAGACCAUUAAGGUCACAGCUCAAGAAAGGCCACGAACACAACAACCAAAACUGGAAAAAAGUGGGCAUUUCUGAACUGAGAAAAGUUCCAGUGGUAUGCGAGUUUCCUGAUGUGCUCCCUGAAGAACUGCCAGGCAUGCCACCAGACCGAGAGAUAGAGUUCAGCAUCGAACUAGCACCUGGCACCGCUCCCAUCUAUAAGAAGCCUUAUAGAAUGGCACCAUCAGAAUUGGUGGAGUUGAAGAAGCAGAUAAAGGAAUUAUUGGACAAAGGAUUUAUUCGAGCCAGCUCCUCACCUUGGGGUUUGCCAGUGUUGUUCGCCAAGAAAAAGGAUGGGACACUGAGACUGUGUAUAGACUAUCGAGCCCUCAAUAUGGUCACCAUCAAAAACAAAUAUCCGAUGCCACGGAUAAAUGAUUUGUUUGACCAGCUCGCACAAGCCAAGGUAUUCUCAAAAAUUGAUUUGAGAUCGGGAUAUCAUCAACUGAAGGUACGGACAGAAGAUAUCCCCAAGACAGCAUUCACUUCCAGAUACGGAUUAUACGAGUUUACAGUGAUGCCUUUUGGACUAACGAACGCCCCCGCAUAUUUCGUCCACCUCAUGAACAAAGUGUUCAUGAAAUUCAUGGACAAAUUCGUUGUGGUAUUUAUUGACGAUAUCUUGGUUUACUCAAGGACACCAGAAGAGCAUGCUGAGCACCUCAGAAUUGUUUUGGGAGAACUAAGGAAACAUCAGUUGUACGCCAAAUUUAGCAAGUGCGAAUUUUGGCUAAGACAAGUUGGUUUCUUAGGCCAUAUAUUGAACCAAGAAGGCGUGGCCGUAGACCGAGAAAAAGUCAAAGCCAUACUUGACUGGAAGCCGCCCGCCAACGUUACAGAUGUGCGGAGUUUCCUAGGAAUGGCCGGAUAUUACAGAAGGUUUAUUGAAGGAUUCUCCACUGUGGCAAAACCUAUAACACAGUUGCUCAAGAAAGACAAGAAAUUUGUAUGGACGGAAGCAUGCGAGAAAAGCUUCCAAGAACUCAAGAAGAAGCUGACAACCGCACCGGUCUUAACUGUGCCAGACAUACACAAGAGUUUUGAAGUAUAUUGUGACGCGUCCCGAAAAGGUCUCGGAUGUGUACUAAUGCAGGAUGGCAAAGUUGUCGCAUAUGCCUCCAGGCAGCUGCGAAAACAUGAGGAAAAUUACCCAACACAUGACUUGGAGCUAGCAGCAGUUAUUCAUGCACUCAAGGAGUGGAGGCACUUUCUGCUGGGAAAUCGCUGUGAAAUAUAUACGGACCACAAGAGCCUCAAAUAUAUUUUCACACAGCCCGAGCUAAAUUUACGCCAACGACGCUGGUUGGAACUGGUCAAGGACUAUGAUGUCGGUAUUCACUACCAUCCAGGGAAAGCAAAUGUAGUGGCCGAUGCCCUUAGUCGAAACCCCAGCCCGGACAAUGACGGUCCGCAAAACUUGAGGCCUGAGUUUCAGCAAGAGUUCGCUAGGCUCAACAUGAUGUUAGUCUCUGAGAGCACCGUAUCGAAUCUAGAGAUACAACCCACCCUGGUGGAACAAAUUAAGAAAGCUCAACAGGGACAUCCUAGCAUCGAAGGUAUAAAGAAGAAAGUGGACCUUGGUAAGGCUUCAGAGUUCGUCACAGACAGUGAAGGGACAUUAUGGUAUGGAGACAGACUUUGCGUACCUAACAUUGAGGAACUCAAGCAACAAAUCUUAACCGAAAGCCACACCGCUCCAUACUCGAUCCAUCCUGGAGGAACCAAAAUGUACAAGGACAUUCAGGAAAGAUUUUGGUGGCACGGUAUGAAAAGAGAUAUAGCCGCAUUUAUUGCUUGUCGCGAUUCAUGUCAGCGCAUCAAGGCCGAGCAUCAAAAGCCAGCAGGGCUACUCCAGCCAAACAGGAUACCGGAGUGGAAAUGGGAUGAAAUAGGAAUGGACUUCAUUGUCGGAUUACCCCGAUCACAACGCGGAAAUGACGCCAUAUGGGUCAUCACAGACCGACUAACCAAGGUUGCUCAUUUCAUUCCCGUGAAGACUACCUACUCCACACAAAGACUGGCCAAACUUUAUCUCUCCCGUAUAGUUUGUUUGCAUGGAGUCCCAAAGGCUAUAAUAUCCGACCGAGGCACUCAAUUCGUCUCCAAAUUUUGGGAUCACCUACAGCAAGCUCCGGGCAUACAACUAGCUUUCAGCACAGCAUACCACCCUCAGACUGAUGGACAAACAGAACGUGUAAACCAAAUCCUAGAGGAUAUGCUAAGAGCCUGUGUGCUCACCUAUGGAUCCAGUUGGGAAGAGAGUCUACCGUAUGCCGAAUUUGCUUACAACAAUAGUUACCAAGCCAGCUUGCAAAUGGCACCCUUUGAAGCAUUGUACGGAAGGAGGUGUCGUACCCCACUGAAUUGGUCAGAAACAGGUGACAGCCGUAUCUUCGGCCCAGACAUGCUUAAAGAGGCCGAGGAGAAAGUUAAACAGAUCAGGGAUAGACUGAAGACAGCGCAGAGCCGACAAAAGAGCUACUAUGAUCAGAAGCAUCGUGAGGUCAGCUUUGAACCCGGUGAUUCCGUAUACCUCCGAGUAUCUCCUAUGAGGGGUCUGCAACGGUUCAAAAUUAAGGGGAAGCUAGCCCCAAGAUUUAUUGGACCAUUUUGUGUAAAGGCACGAAGAGGCACGGUAGCCUACCAACUAGACCUACCCAAGGAGCUAUCAGACGUCCAUGACGUAUUUCACGUCUCUCAACUGAGAAAAUGUGUGAGUAACCCGGAGAAGCAUGUACCCCAUGAAGGCAUUGAUGUGCAACCAGACCUCACCUACAGAGAGAGGCCAGUAAAGAUUUUAGAAGAGUCUGAACGGAGGACCCGUCAGAAAACGACAAAGUUUUUCAGAGUUCAGUGGAGCAACCACACUGAGGAUGAAGCCACAUGGGAAAGGGAAGAUUUUCUCCAGGCAGAAUAUCCAUAUCUAUUUGAGGAUCAGCAGAAAUCUCGAGGAUGAGAUUUUUCCUAAGGGGGUAGGUGUUGUGACACCCAAAUUUUUAUUUGGAUUUUUCAAAAGAUUUUAUUUGACUUGAGGGAGGUGAUUUAAAAAUUUUCUUCAAAAUAACACUCCCUUUCAAAUAUAUUUUUUCUUCUUUAUGGCAAAGGUUUUAUUUGGAUUCACCCAAGAUCUGUCUUUGGUCUUGGAGGUUCUUGCUUUUUAUUUGGAUUCAAGACAAAAUGUUUUUCAUUUGGGGAAAAUGACUUUUGAAAAUCUUUUUGAAAAUGCACUAUGGCUUUUGGAAUAAUCCUUUGCCACUUUCAACAUUUCUCUCUUGCCAUGGCCUUAGUGCAAAUCCACUCUCCUAACCCUCCCCUCAUCUUUGGAUCAUGUUUUGCAUCAAAUCCAGCAAGUUGAACCUCCCCCUAUGAUUAUUUUCCAUUUAAAUUUCAUCAAAUAAAUUUCUGUCUUCUACCCUAGCCCUUGGAGAUUUACAAAGGAGCUACCAUCUCUGCUUUGAUUUUUGGCCCCAAACCAAUUCCCCUUCCUAGUCCUUUGAACCCUCAACCAAGAUCCAUGAAGAUCCACUGGUCUUCAGUUCAAAUUUUUCAAACUACACUUGCUGCAAGUUUGGACCAGAUUUGUCAAAUUUGGUGAAAUUCAUUCAAAUCCCUCUCCAAAAAUUCCAAGUAUAAUCAGGCAGCCUCUGGGUGCAUUGAGUGGUCACCUCACCAAGUACCAGCUCCAGAAAAAAAUUUCUGCUUGCCAAAUCAUUCUGUCGAACACCUGCAGUGCAUUGUCAAUAUCAGGUUCAGUAAAGUUCAGAGAACAUUUCAGUGCGCUGUCGUUUUCUUCAGAGCCCGACGUCGAUCUCGCCAGUGCCACUGUGUCGCCGUGUUCCCUGUCCCCUCCCCCUUGUCCUCUGCACCGCACGAGCAUCUGGCACCUUGCGGACGUCGGCGAAAAGCCGCCGCUUGCGUCGGUCACGGGGCGGCGCUGACGGCGCCACCCAGCGCCGCCCAAGCCAUCGGAGCUCGCCGCGUGGCCUUCCACUCCCCAGAACGCGCUGCCACUCUCGUCGUGAACCGCAGGGCGCAGAGCGCGCUCUCUGCCGCCGACGUGCCCGUGCGGCCACUCCACCGUGGACCGGCGCCAUAACGCCAAGACCAACCGAGAUUUGCGGGGGAACGGCACCAGUAACCUCCACUGAUGCUGCCUGGCCACUCAAACCUCCUGCCAAUCCACUGCAUCGCCGUAAUUGCUCGCCGAAGAUUCUCCGUUCACGGCCACCCCGUCGAUCCGCCUAUAAAUAGAGGCCCCGAGCUUCAAUUUGAACCCACACCAUCCCUGCACUCCACCUAGAGCACGCCUAGCCACUGGAAGAGCCCCGAGGAGGUCUCCUUCCUCGACUCCGGCCGCCGCGACCCGCCACGGGAUCCAGCUCGAUUCGCCCCCGUGCGUGCGCCUCUGCCUCCCAUCUCUUGCCAGUAGCUUCACUAUGCAUCCCUCCUUCUGACCCGCGCUUCAAUUCGAAGUUUGCAGCCCUCCACCGGAGUUCUCCACCAUCACCCGAGCCGCCGUCCGCCGGAGAAAGUGUCGCCGUCGACGUGGUGCUCCCCGUUAGUCGAGUCCACCACCCACCGACGCGGAAGAACACGCUGAAGCUCUUGGUACCCUCCGAUCUUCCUGACUCGCCGUGGUUCGACGCCGGCGUCCACCGCAGUCUUCGGGCGCCGGCGAGCUUUUUGAACCUGACAUGUGGACCCCCCAUGUCAGCCUCUGUUCUAAUCUCCCUCGAGCCGUUUUCUAUUGGCGCCUUCGGGCAAAAUACGCUUUCCCUCUUUAGCUAGCGCAUUUCUUUCAGAAGCGUUUUCUGGUUUCUCAGUUUAAACCCUGGAACUUUUCUGUUUCAUUACAGAUAGGUCCCUGGACAGAAACCUUUAUAACUUUUUAAUAAAAAGGAAUUUUUGAGUGAUUCUUUUUCUGACCUUCUUAAAAUUUUGUCGAGUUUUUUAUGGGAUUUAUUUGGAAAAUUGUUGGAGAAGUUUCUGUGCACGCGUUGAUUUUCACGUUAGUGCCCGUUUCCGUUAUUGCCGUAGGUUCCGGAAGAGGUGACGGAGCCGCGAACUUCGCCGAGCUAGACUCUGACUUCUCCGAACCAGGCAAGCAUGUUUGAACCUUUGAUAUGAUAGGUGUUUUGCAUGUUUGCAUGACAGUUGGAGCGUGGCAUAUGAGUGUCAGUGAGUACCUCGUUGCUUGUGAGGCAACUACCCGCAUGUUCCAAAGUUGCGAUGAUCUCUGAUGAGAGAUGGCCUAAUCAUGUGGUGACAUGAAGGGCAGCAAGGUGGUACUGUUGUAGCAUACCAGCCUUGCGUCAUCCGACGAAUUCCGACGUUAACGUGGACGGAGUCACGUUAUCGUUCUUUUCCCCUCCGUGCUGCCACAUGUUUCAUUUGCCAGGAUGCGGUUUAGUAAGUUUGUAACCUCUUUUCAUGUACACACCAAACAGAGGGGCCGGGAUGAUGGUACCUUGGCCCAGGAUUAAAGCCAGUCAUCCGGUCAGGGGGCAUGGGUGUUUCCGGUUGGGACCGAGAGGGGGGGCACCCCCUUAGAGCGCGCGUAUAGAAAUUUGAUCCCAUGCUACGCGAGGUUGUAGCCUCCCCGUCUCAAGGUUUUUCUUGAACGUUGCCAAGGGUGAUCCCUGGCUUCGUAAUAUUGAAAUGGGUGUGUACUGGUUAGACGUGUUUCUUCCAAAACACCGUAAACGGAACUAGUCCCCGUGACUACGGAAAUCCGUUGGCUGUGGUUAAGUACAAACUCUGCAGAGUCAAAUUCUUCCAAGUCAUCGUGUCCAUGAUCAAGUAGGGUAAUCAGUAUAUCCAUAUCUAUCCUCGUGGAAAACUUGUCUCCGGUGAACAAGCUCAAGUGGUAAACCCGGUUAAAUUAUUAUUACUAUGGAUGGACUAACCUUUUAUUUGUCUCGUACUUGUAAUAAUUUAUGAUCUCGAGCUACUGCAUUAUUGAGCUACAAUAUAAGCCCUUUAUGUGACGUCGCUCAGACGUCCGACUGUGGCAUGUGUUUGUUCUUACUUUAAAUAUAAGCCCUUUUUGCAACGUCGCGCAGACGUCCGACUAUUGCGUGUCUUUGUUUCUCACUUUAAAUAUAAGCCAUUUAUGUGAUGUCGCUCAGACGUCCGACUGUGGCACGCACUGCCUUUAUUUUCUGAUAUAAGCCCUUUAUGUGGUGUCGCCCCGACGCCCGACUGUGGCAUUAAUAUUCUGCAGUUUCCUCUCGAGGAGUCAUUCAGACACUCGUUUGGCACCAGUAUUACCAUUCUUGCAGUUUCCUCUCGAGGAGUCAUUCAGACACUCGUUUGGCACCAGUACUACUAUUCUUGCAGUUUCCGCUCGAGGAGUUAUUCAGACCCUCGUUUGGCACCCAACAUUUAUUAUCUCUAUGUCUGAACGCACUGGUUAACUUGUUUAUAUGCUUCAUGUUUACAUUUGUUAUAUCUUAUGUCCGAACUGUCUUGCGAGUACUUUCAUAGUACUCACCUGGCUUGUUGAUUUGGCCAGAUGUUGACGAAGGCGAUCUUUUGGAUGAAGAGUUUGAUAGCGCGUCCGACGCCUAGAGGAGUCCCAGUCAGUCCUGCGCGAUCCCGGAUAUUGGUCACUUGUAUUAUAUACGCUUCCGCCACCCGCAAUAAGUCUCCUCGAGCCUCGCUUCGACGCUCGAAGAGCUGUAGUCUUCAGGAGUCAUAUCACUCGCUUCGCGGUGAUAUUUUCACCACGUUAUUAUCGUGAGUUAGUAGUUAUGCCACCCUAUCCGCCGUCUUGUUUUAUUGGCGUGCAUGUAAUAGAUUGUUGAGCAGUCUCCGCUCAACCUUGUAUUAUAUUCAGUACUCCUGGUAAUUUUCUUCUGUGACCAAGAUAUUGUCUACCAGUGGGAAGGGAUUCUUCCUUCUGGUCGGUAAAAGGGAUUGGUCUCUCAAUAAUUAUUUUAUUGAAAAACCGGUCGUGACACCAUAGGGUCUAUUAUGUAUGCCAUGCUGUCUGCCAGACCUGAUGUAAACCUUGCCGUAAGUUUGGUAGGAAGGUACCAAAGUAAUCCCUGCAUGGAACACUAGACAGCGGUCAAGAAUAUCCUGAAGUACCUGAAGAGGACUAAGGAUAUGUUUCUCGUUUAUGGAGGUGACGAAGAGCUCGUCGUAAAGGGUUACGUCGAUGCUAACUUCGACACAGAUCUGGAUGACUCGAAGUCACAAACCGGAUACGUGUAUAUUUUGAAUGGAGGGGCAGUAAGCUGGUGCAGUUGCAAGCAAAGCGUCGUGGCGGGAUCUACAUGUGAAGCGGAGUACAUGGCAGCCUCAGAGGCAGCGCAAGAAGCAAUCUGGAUGAAGGAGUUCAUUACCGACCUAGGGGUGAUUCCCAAUGCGUCGGGCCCGAUGACUCUCUUCUGUGACAACAUUGGAGCUAUUGCCCUUGCCAAGGAGCCCAUGUUUCACAGGAAGACCAGUCAUAUCAAGCGUCGCUUCAACUCCAUUCGUGAAAGUGUUCAAAAUGGAGACAUAGAUAUUUGUAAAGUACAUACGGACCUGAAUGUAGCAGAUCCGUUGACUAAACCUCUCCCUAGAGCAAAACAUGAUCAACACCAGAACGCUAUGGGUGUUCGAUUCAUCACAAUGUAACUAGAUUAUUGACUCUAGUGCAAGUGGGAGACUGUUGGAAAUAUGCCCUAGAGGCAAUAAUAAAUGGUUAUUAUUAUAUUUCCUUGUUCAUGAUAAUUGUCUAUUGUUCAUGCUAUAAUUGUGUUAUCCGGAAAUCGUAAUACAUGUGUGAAUACAUAGACCACAACAUGUACCUAGUAAGCCUCUAGUACACUAGCUCGUUGAUCAACAGAUAGUCAUGGUUUCCUGACUAUGGACAUUGGAUGUCAUUGAUAACGAGAUCACAUCAUUAGGAGAAUGAUGUGAUGGACAAGACCCAAUCCUAAGCAUAGCACAAAAGAUCGUGUAGUUCGUUUGCUAGAGCUUUUCCAAUGUCAAGUAUCAUUUCCUUAGACCAUGAGAUCGUGUAACUCCCGGAUGCCGUAGGAGUGCUUUGGGUGUACCAAACGUCACAACAUAACUGGGUGACUAUAAAGGUACACUACGGGUAUCUCUGAAAGUGUCUGUUGGGUUGACACGGAUCGAGACUGGGAUUUGUCACUCCGUAUGACAGAGAGGUAUCUCUGGGCCCACUCGGUAAUGCAUCAUCAUAAUGAGCUCAGGGUGACUAAGGAGUUAGCCACGGGAUCAUGCAUUACGGUAUGAGUAAAGAGACUUGCCGGUAACGAGAUUGAACAAGGUAUUGGGAUACCGACGAUCGAAUCUCGGGCAAGUAACGUACCGAUUGACAAAGGGAAUUGUAUACGGGAUUGAUUGAAUCCUCGACAUCGUGGUUCAUCCGAUGAGAUCAUUGUGGAACAUGUGGGAGCCAACAUGGGUAUCCAGAUCCCGCUGUUGGUUAUUGACCGGAGAGGCGUCUCGAUCAUGUCUGCAUGUCUCCCGAACCCGUAGGGUCUACACACUUAAGGUUCGGUGACGCUAGGGUUGUAGAGAUAUUAGUAUGCGGAAACCCGAAAGUUGUUCGGAGUCCCGGAUGAGAUCCCGGACGUCACGAGGAGUUCCGGAAUGGUCCGGAGGUGAAGAAUUAUAUAUAGGAAGUCCAGUUUCGGCCACCGGGAAAGUUUCGGGGGUUAUCGGUAUUGUACCGGGACCACCGGAAGGGUCUCGGGGGUCCACCGGGUGGGGCCACCUAUCCCGGAGGGCCCCAUGGGCUGAAGUGGGAAGGGAACCAGCCCUUAGUGGGCUGGGGCGCCCCCCUUGGGCCUCCCCCUGCGCCUAGGGUUGGAAACCCUAGGGGUGGGGGCGCCCCACUUGCCUUGGGGGGCAAGCCCCCCCCCUUGGCCGCCGCCCCCCCUCAGAUGGGAUCUCCAGGGUGGCCGGCGCCCCCCCAGGACCCCUAUAAAUAGUGGGGGAGAGGGAGGGCAGCAACAACACAGCCCCUGGCGCCUCCCUCUCCCCCUGCAACACCUCUCCCUCCCGCUUGUGCUUGGCGAAGCCCUGCCGGGAUCCCCGCUACUUCCACCACCACGCCGUCGUGCUGCUGGAUCUCCAUCAACCUCUCCUUCCCCCUUGCUGGAUCAAGAAGGAGGAGACGUCGCUGCUCCGUACGUGUGUUGAAGACGGAGGUGCCGUCCGUUCGGCACUCGGUCAUCGGUGAUUUGGAUCACGUCGAGUACGACUCCAUCAACCUCGUUCACUUGAACGCUUCCGCUCGCGAUCUACAAGGGUAUGUAGAUGCACUCCUUUCCCCUCGUUGCUAGUAUACUCCAUAGAUGGAUCUUGGUGAUGCGUAGGAAAUUUUAAAAUUCUGCUACGAUCCCCAACAAACGAGUCACCUUGUCGCAAUCCCUUCUUCGUUUGGAAAUAGUGUCCAACGUCACCAUUGACCUUAAUGGCAACACUACCCCCAUAAGCGAUGCUAUGGAUCAUAGCGCGCCACACUGCAAAAAAUCCUUUUAUUCUUAGAGUCUGUUGAAGAAAGGGCCACUUGACUUUGUCAUAAGCCUUUUCAAAGUCUAUUUUGAGUACCACCCCAUUCAACUUUUUUCGGUGUAACUCAUGGACUGUUUCAUGAAGGAUAACAACUCCAUCUAGGAUGUGUCUGCCUUGCAUAAAAUUUGUUUGUGAAGACGAACCACAUGUUCAGCAACCAAAUUUAGCCUAAUAAUUGCAACCUUCAUGAAUAUUUUCAAACUAACAUUAGGGAGGCAAAUAGGUCUGUAUUGUUGUAUCCUUUCAGCCUCAUUAACCUUAGGUAAUAAAAUAAUCUCACCGAAGUUUAAGCGACGCAAUUCUAGUUGGCCAGCAUGAAGAUCGCUAAACAAAAGUAGGAGAUCCAGUUUGAUGACUUCUUAGAAGUUCUGAUAUAACUCUACAGAAAAACCAUCCGGACCCGAGGCUUUGUUAUGCUCCAUUAGGAAAACCACCUUUCUAACUUCCUCCUCAGAGUAUGGGGUUGUUAGAAGGUUGUUUUCCUCAUCAAAGACCUGUGGGAUGUCAUAUGUUCGGGAUUCAUCCAUCGAGAAGUUUCCUUCCUCUGUUGCUCCUAACAGAUUUUUGUGAUAAUUAGUGAUGUAAGAUUUAAGUUGCUCAUGCCCCUCGAUCAUCCCCUCAUCCGGUUGCAGGGAAUGAAUAAUUUUCUUUCGGUGUCUGCCAUUGCUGACUUCAUGGAAAUAUCUAGUAUUUGAAUCACCUUUUAGGAUAAACUGAGAGUUAGAAUGUUGGUACCAUUUGAGUUCCUAUUCACAUAGCAUGCUAGCUAUCUGUGCAUUCGAAUGAUUCUUGAUCUCGAUUUCAUGCUCAGGUAGAGGUCUAACCUCUGCCAAAGCUUCUAAUUCAUCAAUGAUAGAUGAAAGACGAUGCUUAUCAUUUUCUAGGAUACCCACCGUAUGCCCAGCUCAUCCACCAAGGAAUUUACGUAAUGCAUGCAUUUUGUUAUUUCAUCUAUCUAUUGGGGUAGGCCCGACCACCGGUUUCACCCACACCUCCUUGACCAUGUCAUGGAAGCCAUCCUGAAGCAACCACCCAAGUUCGAACUUGAACUUGCAUCUAUGUUGUGGUCGUAGCAAAGCAGUAGUUAGGAGAAUGGGUGUGUGGUCUGAUGCCUCGAUACGAGGUAGAGCACGAACAGACACCAUAGGAAAUUUAGAUUUUUAGUCGGUAUCCAUUAAAAGUGAUCUACUUUCUCAUAUGUCGGUUCCAGAAGACUGUUUGCCCAAGUGAAUUGUCUAAGUGAAUUGUCUUCCAAUCAUGGAAACCUCUCACGGAUCUAGACUGUCGAUGACAACUUGGAAAGGAAAGGCCAAUGAUUUAUCAAAUCUACCACUGCUUUUCUCAUUUGGAAACCUAUAAGAAUGGGAUAGGGAUUAUCUUUCGGCAAAUUAAGAUCCAUUGGAGACAUACCUCCACAUGCCCAUCAAUGAUGCCAGUAGGACGGGGGGCAGGCAGGAAGAACCUUAUUCCAUCUUCAGGGAACUGCCGCCGUCUCGUCUUACAGGACACAAACCCUAACAUAACUCUGAAGAAACCUAUAAAAUCGGAGCCAUCCCGCCGGCAAGGGUCGGGAUCUGUCGCGCCCCCAUGACCCUAAGGCCACCGGAGACAAGGUGGACCGGCGGCGGCGUCGGCGGGAUAUAGAGGAGCCCUAGUCUCUUUUUUUGGGAGGAGGCAGCGGCUGUGCGUUGUCAAUCGUUGUUGCAACUUGUGGGAAAGUGAGAAGAAAGACUAUACGAUGCGCAUCAUGAAUCAGAUGGCUCGUGGGCCGGCUGGCUUUUAGAAAGACCUAGCACGCCCCUCCUUUUUGAAAAUCGCUAUGGAACCAAAAGCAAAUUGAGAUUCUCCUUUAUAUACAAAAUUAUCUAAUCAAAUUGAGAUGAGAUUUACUUAAAAGUAUUCCAUCUAUCCCCCUUUUCUCUUUUUGAAACAGAUGCCCUGGUAGACCGGGUGCAUGGUCCUGGCUCGAUUAACAACCCACAAAUCGUAGAGAGCAUUGAUUCCCGCGUACACCGGAUCCAGCAACCUCCUCUCCAGCGGCGGCCCACCGGUCAUGGUCUCUGCCCACAGAAACCAACCUGGCCAACGCUGGCGCCGACGGGUGGCCAGCCCACACGUGCGAAGCCCGGCCCCCGCACGUCAGCCUCCUCCCCUCCAACCACGUCCGCCAGGCCACCCCGAGCCGUCCAUCACGACCCCCGGCACGCCACCGGCCGUCCGAUGCGCCCCGGGGUUGUUCCACGCCCUCCCUCCGCUCCUCGUAUGCCCCGCCCGCCGCCGCCUAUAUAAGCCCCGCCUCCUCCCCCACCCCGAGCAGAUAAGAUCGAUCGAUCGCGGAGCGAGAGAGAGAGAAAAAAAAUCUUCUCGUCGGUAGGGUUUCGGGGGCUGCGAUGGCGAUGGAGGCGCGGAUGAAGGGGACGGUCAAGUGGUUCAACGACACCAAGGGGUUCGGCUUCAUCUCCCCCGACGACGGCAGCGAGGACCUCUUCGUGCACCAGUCCUCCAUCAAGGCCGACGGCUUCCGCUCGCUGGCCGAGGGCGAGGUGGUCGAGUUCGCCGUCUCGGAGGGCGACGACGGCCGCACCAAGGCCGUCGACGUCACCGGCCCCGACGGAUCCUUCGUGCAGGGCGGCGCGGGCGGCGGCGGGGGCGGCUUCGGAUCCCGCGGCGGCGGCGGAUCUCGCGGCGGCGGGGGCUUCGGCGGCCGCGGCGGGGACGGAUCUGGCGGGUACGGAGGUGGGUAUGGCGGUGGUGGCAGCGGCGGCUGGGGCGGCCAGAGGAGAUCCGGCGGUGGAGGCGCCGGUGGGGCCUGCUUCAAGUGCGGGGAGCCUGGCCACAUGGCCAGGGACUGCUCGGUCAACGGCCCCGCUGGUGGCGGCGGCGGCGGCGGCUGCUACAAGUGCGGCGAGCAAGGCCACAUCGCCAGGGACUGCUUCAACGGCGGCGCCGGCGGAGGAGGCGGCGGCUACGGCGGCGGCGGCGGCGGUAACUGCUACAGCUGCGGCGAGCCGGGCCACAUCGCGAGGGACUGCCCCACCAGCAGCGGCUUUGGCGGGGGCGGCGGCGGGAGGUUCGGCGGAGGAGGCGGCGGCGGCGGCGACCGCACCUGCUACCACUGCGGCGAGACCGGCCACAUCUCCCGCGACUGCACCAAGUGAGGGGAUAUCUCUGCCCCUCCCCCUCUAUAGAUUGCGCCUAAAUACCUCUCGUCUUAGUUUUGCCGAUCGAUCGAUCUGGGCCUGAGCGCCCAGCCGCAGCCGCCUCGCUUAUUUUAUCUUCCUCCCCCCUUCCGUUCUCGGAAUCCGUCCUAGGGGAAAGUCAGUCAGUCAGUCAGUCCGUGUGAUGGUUAAUUUUGCUAUGAAUUGGUCCUCUGGUACCCGUACCCGUACUCUCAGUUGAUGUCUAAGGUCGUGAUGAUGAUGGAUUAUUGGUGAUUUUUGUGUGGUGAUGAUGAGGAGAUUGCAACACAUCUCUGUUUUUUGGUUUCAUCGAUGAAGUAAAAGAUGCCGGUCGUUAUUAUCAUCCUCCAUGAGUGAAUGAAUGAAUUCUCUCUUGUCAGAUCAGAUCUCUGCUCUAGUGGUAGAACUAUUACCUCUGUCUGACAUCCUGUUUGUUAAUUGAUUAUGAUUAUGUUAAAGUAGAGUUUG